AGCGGCAUGGGAGCAAAAGAGCUUUUGGUUUGAUGAAGACUAACGGGUGGAUGAACAGGAAGUCCGAAGUGAAGGUCUCUGUUUGAUUCAAUACUUUUGGUGCAAGACUGAAGAGUUGAAGAACAGGAAGUCUGAAUUGAACUUUCUGUUUGUAUUUUGGGGUCGGCAUAAUUGAACUUCGAAUGUCGUGUUAAAUUCAUUGUGGACUGUAAUUCUGAACCGUUAUGGGUGUUCGUUUCGACUCUUGGUAGAACUAUUAAGUCGCAUGUUACUCUUAGUAUCUGAACUAUCAAGUCACAUGUUAAUCUGGACUAUCAUGUUGCUUUUCUAAGGUUGCUGCUCUCUGAAUUGAUCCACUAUGCUAUUGCCUGAAUGGUUGCAACUGGAGUGUUGAUGUUCAGUCUGAUACGUAGUGAUUUGAUGAAUAGAUUCAGCUGUUUGAUUUUUACAUGCAUAUUUUGCUAAAAGUUCUGAAUACUCAUCUGUUGUUCUAUUGUAUUUCAAAAUUUUAGGCAAAUUUCGCCCAUUUUUCGUCCCAAAAUUCAAAUUUUGUUUUACGAUUUUCGUUCGAGAUUUUCCGAAAAAAUCUGAAAAAUCUGAAUUUCGCCCAUUUCGCCCAGGACCGGUAAAAAUCAAAAAACGAAAUCCGAAAUUCUGGCCACCGCAUGCUUCACCCAUCGUUGGAGCCACGAACGGCCGGACCGCUUGCAAUGGUGGGUGGUGGGGAGCGAUGAUGCCGCCGGAGCCGGCCGAUACUGGGUCGACGGUUGACAAAGAAGAACACCGCAAGCACUUGUGCGGAAGUGCGUUGCCCCGCGGACGGGGAGGGCCUCGACGUUGAGGGGAGCCUCCUGGAGCCAGGUGGAGUCGUCGGCGACAAAAACAACCGUGCCGAGACGGAUCUUGCGGCCCAACGCCAAACCACCGUCGGAAACCAUGUUGUCGGAGAAUGAAAUAUGCAACCUCACCAGAAGUCGCUUAGAUGCCUGCCCCACGGUGGGCGCCAACUGUCGUGGGAGUAAGUCCGACAUUAAGAAUAGGGGGUACAUAGGAGGAGGCAAGGUCCUAGCUACGGUGACACGCAAGUUUACGAGUUCAGGCCCCUCUCGGAGGAGGUAAAAGCCCUACGUCUCGGUGCCCUGAGGCUUUGUUGACUGGAUUAUGCGUGGAUGUUACAAGGGGUGCAAACCCUUGUGCCAGAGGAGGAGGGUGGCUUAUAUAGAGUGCGCCAGGACCCUCGUAGACCUCCGAUACACAGGGUUCAAUGUGAGUUAAGAUAUGGGCAUUACUGGUAACGCCAACAAUUAAUGAUCUUUAGGUCUACAGAGUGAACGUAUGACCGUUGCCAUCUUGGGGUGGCUUUAGAUUCUCUGUACUCCGAGUGGUUUUACAUAUGGUCGAGUGACUAUGCUGUGGUCGAGUGGAAUCGGGAUAUCCGAGUGGAGUCUUCUGUCGAGUGGAUUGCACUUCAAGGUGACUCCAGUCGGUACUUUCUGUUGGUCCUUAAAUGUCUUUGACUAUAGGGCAGUGUCCUUGGGUGGGGUGUCUAGGUCAGGCCUAAGACCCUGCCCUAGGUACAUGUCCUUGUCACCCACCCUCUAUAUCAUCCCCUUUUUAACAAGCUUCAAACCAUACUUAAUUCCUUUCCACACCACAGAAUUAUUACCAGAAAACAAUGUGUCUAGAAUACUACCAUUAGUAAAAUAUUUUGUCUUUAGUAGCCGUGCACGUAAGCUAACUCGGUUAUCAAUCAAAUGUUGAGCCUGUUUUGCCAACAGGGCCUGGUUAAAAUCACGCAUAUCGCAAAAACCCAUGCCCUCUUUGUACUUUGGUAGCAUCAUCUUUAUCUUUUUCUUAGGGACCCUGAUAACUACCACAUGUGUGGCACAAACAAACACAUUGCAAUUUCAAAAGUUUUUUAUGGAAAAUUUAGUGAUGCGAGGAUGACAACUUCUUUUCAGAUGUCAAGUUUCAUUUUUGGGGUUUGUUUUUUCUUUUUGGAUGGCAACUUAGUUGUAGAAAAACGUUAAGGCUGGAGUGCUUCAUGGCACACAUGUGGCACUUAUCAUUUGGGUUUCUUAGGGACAAUAAUCUCUAUCUUUUUUAUGUGUGUGUGUGUGAGUGCUAGUAAUCUAUAUCUCCACAAGACACGGAUUGGAGAUUAUAAUAGAAUUGCUAUAUCUCUAUAGGAUAUGGGAGUAAUCUCUAUAUCUCUACAUGACGUGGCAGUAAUCUUUAUAUCUCUACAGGAUGUGGGAAGGGCUAUAAUAGAAUCUAAUCUUGCUAUACAAAAGUAAAAAAAACUUGAACCACUGGAUGAAGAUGAAUGGUAAAGAUUUAGGUGGAGGGACGACAGACCAUUUAAUGUACAUUUCAUGACAAAAACCCACAAAGAGUUAGAUGGGAAAUAGGACAUUUACAGUAUACACCUCGAGUCUUUGUGAAAUAUACACCUCGAGUCUUCGUGAAAUAUGACCAUUUUUGGAUAUGUAAAGUGUUGAUGGCCAUCUCCUCUUAGUUUGAUAUAAAAUCUUUGCAAAUAUUUACUGCAUGAAAUCCAUACACAUUUAAGUGUCUUUUUUUUGCCUCGGAGACAUCGCUAAUUUUUCAAGAGUUUACAAGAACAUCUUGGUCACUAAAAAUGCCAAUAUGCAACAAAUAUUUUAGCACAUGAGAGAAUUAACUCAUGCUGGAUCAAACAGAACUACAAGUAGAUGUCAGACUAGAAGUAUUUGAGCGCAUGAGCAAAUUAAGGGCUAAAAUUAUCACCACUCAGCAAGCAUUCGAGUAUUUGAGUACAUGAGAACAUAACACAAGAGGCAUAUAUAGAUCAUUUUUACUACAUGGCCAGCAAGACCAAGUACUCAAAACUGAAAUUAACACCACCCAACAAGCAUCUUCAUGGUACAUGACAAAGAAGGUCUAUCAUUUUUCCUCAUGUUUUAGUGCUUCUCGGUAAUCAAGCUUCAUCUACCCAACCUUCAUGGACUCUUAUACACUUGAUCGACCUAGGUAAGUACACUAAAUAAAUAGGUGACAACUAGAAAUAUAUACCAAAUAGCAUAUCUUGAGAAGAGAGGCAUCAUUAUGUCCAGUUUCAUUCGCUGCUCCAACCUAGAAUACAUAACCUAGAUGUCAAACUUAGAAUGAAAUUCCUCAACCAUAUUAAUACGCAUGUGUAUUCAGUUAUGGGAUCUCAUUUUGUCACAAGCAAAAACAUAGUUUCAGACAAACUAAAUACAAUUACUACUCCCCAUAUGGACUGCCCAUUUAAAGCGAGUAUUACAAGCUGCGACAAGUGAUAUAACACAACAGGACCUAGUAGUUUUUACCCUAAACAUGGGCAUAUCUUCGUUGUUAAGUUUUAGCCUAUUUGUUUAUCACCUAAGGUUUGGCAUGGACAUGUGAUAUAUGAUGAGGAAGGUUUUCUAGUAGAUUGAUGUACAUCUGCAUAGUUUUCACCUAAUGUUUGGUAACCAAUCCCCGUCUACGAGCAUGACUAAGAAAUAAAUGAGCAUAACGUAUAUUCCCGGGGUGAUCAAAGGUAACAGGUUCCUACCUCAAGUACUACAACCAAAACACAUGUUCCCAAUCCUACUCAUGUAAAUCUUUGAGGGGUAAAACUAAUGCAUAGUAAAAACUGGGUAUUGAAAAGUAUGAUCAAAGUGUGACUUGCCUUGCUGCAAUCGGAAAACUCUAGAGAUUCGUAGUAACAAGUUUCACACUCCGGAAAAUCUAGCAUAGACAAACAAUAGCAUACAUAAGCACUCAAGCAAGCGAUGCAAAGAGAAAUCGAAGAAAAGAUCCAAAGAACUCAAAAACAAGCAAAUAACUAAGCUAACAGAAAAAAUUCUAAUAGCAUUAUAUUUAUGUGGAUUAGAUCUUAAUAUAAGGUACAUGUGAUUAGAUAUGAUUUGCAAAAAGAAUCAACUCAAACGGAGCUACGAAACUCAAGAUACGAUCAAAACAAGAUCAAAUUCAAAUCUGAACUAAAAUUAAAUUUUAAAUUGUCAAAAACAUGUUCAAGUUAGUUUCAUGGAUAGAUGGGAUCACUCUAAAGAUUUUGGCGUUGGUUUCGUCGAAUUUGGACAAACGAGCAAAAAGUAAUGAGGGUUUAAAGAUCAGGGGCUAAUCUGCAAAGAAAAUAUUUGCGGAUAAGUCCCUGGCCGAAAACUAAAAUAAGAAGAAAAAAACUACCAAAUGAACGUUUGCUACAGAACCUAAUCUAAUGAAUCUGUUCAUUACAGAACCUAAACGAAUGAACAUUCGCUAAAUAACCGAACUAAAUAAAAUAAACUGGAUUUAACAGAAAAACCGAAAAAACCGGAUCGGACCGAGGUGGUUUUAUACCAGUUCACGGCGGCGGACUCGACGGCGGCGGCGACGGGGCUCGGGUUCGGCGGUGCAGUGGCGGCGGGCUCAGGCGACGGCAGCUUUCGGCGGCGGCGGCGGUGGCGGGGUGCGGUGGGAAGUNNNNNNNNNNNNNNNNNNNNNNNNNNNNNNNNNNNNNNNNNNNNNNNNNNNNNNNNNNNNNNNNNNNNNNNNNNNNNNNNNNNNNNNNNNNNNNNNNNNNNNNNNNNNNNNNNNNNNNNNNNNNNNNNNNNNNNNNNNNNNNNNNNNNNNNNNNNNNNNNNNNNNNNNNNNNNNNNNNNNNNNNNNNNNNNNNNNNNNNNNNNNNNNNNNNNNNNNNNNNNNNNNNNNNNNNNNNNNNNNNNNNNNNNNNNNNNNNNNNNNNNNNNNNNNNNNNNNNNNNNNNNNGUGGGAAGUGCGGCGCUCGGCGGGGCUUGCGGGCGGCGCGGGCAGCGAGUGCUGCGGGCGUCGGCGGAAAGUGCGGUGGCGCCGGCGCGGCUUGUGACGAGGAGAGAGGGGCCGAGGUCCUCCCUAUUUAAAGGGGGUCAUGGGGUGCGGGCGGCUUGGGAAGGGGGCAAGCGGGGCGGCGGUUGUCUCGGAAUCUGGCGGCGGCAUCGUCGUGGCGUGGCCGAACUCCUAGCCGGAGUCGAUCGCAUGGUGCGGGAGGAGCUGGGCCUUGGCCUGGCGGCUAGCUGGACCGGCCUAGUUCGGCAGGAAGUUUUUUUUAAAACAAUUUUUUCAGAGACAUAAACACGCUAAACAAAUAUAAAUAAAAUCCAAAAAAUACCUGAAAAAUUCACGUUGUAAUAUGGCCUUAUUAUUGACCUAGUGAACAUUUUUCUAGGCCAAAAUGCCUAAACUAAAAACAAACAUUAUAGUACUAAUUACUCCGCUAACAAAAUAGAUAAACUAGUGAAUAAAAUCAAAUAAAAUCUCCAAAAAUUCGAAAUUCAACUUCCAUAUUUCUUUGAUGAUUUUGAAGAAGUCCUUUUAUCUUCUCUCUUUAUUUUAAAAAUAAUUGGAAAAGAAUUUUGAAAAACAAUUUGAUCCAAUUACCAAAUUUUGAAAACGUCCAACUCUCUCAAAUUGGUCCUUGAGUUGCUUAAGGUCUCUUGGAUCAAAAUGCAACUAAAACAAAGCAACAAAAUGCAUAAAUCAUGGAUGCAUAAGAAUGGUCUAUGAAUAACAUCCAAAUUGAAAACUGGGAUGGUACAAAUAUACCCCCUUAAGAUGAAUCUCGCCCUCGAGAUUCGGGUUGGUCAGCAAAAAGGUGUGGAUGGUCCUUGCGGAGGUCUUCCUCGCGCUCCCAGGUAUCUUCCUCCUUGGUAUGGUGGCUCCACUAAACUUUGUGAAACUUGAUGACUUUCCUGUGAGUAACUCGGCUGGAAAACUCGAGAAUCUUAAUGGGUUUCUCUUCAUAGGUUAGAUCACUAUCCAACUGAAUCGCUUCCAGUGGCACUGUAUCGCUCAGAGGAAUGUCAGCCAUCUCUGCAUGGCACUUCUUUAACUGGGAAACGUGAAACACAUCAUGAACUCCUGACAAUCCUUCGGGUAAUUCCAACUUGCAGGCAACUUCUCCUAUACGUUCCAAAACUCUGUAUGGUCCCACAAAUCAUGGUGCUAGUUCUCCUUUGACUCCAAAUCGCUUAACUCCUCGAAGUGGGGACACACGAAGAUAUGCUCUGUCUCCGACUUCAUAGGCUACCUCCUUGCAUUUAGUAUCGGCAUAACUCUUCUGCCUUGACUGAGCUAUCUUGAGUCUGUCACAAAUCAACUUAACCUUCUCCUCAAAAUCUCUGAUUUAAUCUAGUCCGAACAACUAUCGAUCUCCAACUUUAUCCCAUGACAAUUGUGUCCUGCACCUCUGUCGGUGUCAAAACCGGCGGAUCUCGGGUAGGGGGUCCCGAACUAUGCGUCUAGGCGGAUGGUAACAGGAGACAAGGGACACGAUGUUUUACCCAGGUUUGGGCCCUGUCGAUGGAGGUAAAACCCUACGUCCUGCUUGAUUAAUAUUGAUGAUAUGGGUAGUACAAGAGUGGAUCUACCACGAGAUCAAGGAGGCUAAACCCUAAAGCUAGCCUAUGGUAUGAUUGUUGUAAUGUAUGUUGUGUCCUACGGACUACAGCCCUCCGGUUUAUAUAGACACCGGAGAAGGCUAGGGUUACACAGAGUCGGUUACAAUGGUAGGAGAUCUACAUAUCCGUAUCGCCAAGCUUGCCUUCCACGCCAAGGAAAGUCCCAUCCGGAGACGGGACGAAGUCUUCAAUCUUGUAUCUUCGUAGUCUUGGAGUCCGGCGAACGAUGAUAGUCCGGCUGUCCGGACACUCCCUAGUCCAGGACUCCCUCAGUAGCCCCUGAACCAGGCUUCAAUGACGAUAAGUCCGGCGCGCAUAAUGUUCGGCAUUGCAAGGCGGGUUCCUCCCUUGAAUAAUCCAGAGAAGAUCAUGAACACCAGGAUAGUGUCCGGCUCUGCAAUAUAAAUUCCACAUUCCACCGUAGAGAGAAUAAAAUGUACACAAGUCCAAUCUGCUGACGUAUUAUGCGGCAUGACAUCACACCGCUACCAAGCCUUUAUUUGAAUCAUUUUUUAUUAUACCACCUCAUCACGUUUAGCGAAGCGGUUUCCUUGGCACGUCCUGUCGAAGCAGAGAUCGUGUUCCCCUUAUUCCGGGAUUCUCAUCAAUACGGACGUGGGUAACCCAACCCCGCCCGUCGCCACGUCUCCUCUAUCGAAGGUGAAUCACGAACGGUCACGGAGACGACUCUUGGUAUUUUCCCCCUUUAUAAGAGGACCAAGGCUCGUUUCUUUUCUUCAAUCUUCCAUCGAAUCUUCUCCUUGCUCCAAGUUCCAACACCCAGGGCCCCAGAUUCGAGCGCUUCGGAUCUUCAACCAUGUCCGGCUCCGACCUCCAGGGUCGGUGGAUGCCCUCCUCCGUUACGGAGGAGGACGUGCUAAAGCUGCGUGAGGCCAAGUACCUGUCCUAUGAGAUUUCGCACAGGUUGCCCGCCCAAGGGCAGGCCGUGCCCACUCCCGAGCCCGGUGAGUACGUCGUCUUCGUAUCCCACCUCCGUUGGGGCUUAGGCUUCCCGACGGACCCCUUCGUGAGAGGGCUCAUGUUCUACUACGGGCUGGAUUUUCACGACUUGGCUUCGGAGUCCAUCCUCCACAUCUCCGCAUUCAUUAUCGUCUGCGAAGCCUUCCUCCGCGUCACCCCGCACUUCGGCCUGUGGCUGAAGACCUUAAAUGUGGAGCCGAAGAUGAUCGGGGGGCGUCAAGCGGAGUGCGGCGGGGCGGCCAUAAGCAGAAGGGCCGAUGCCCCGUGGCCCGAGGGUUCCUUCCAGGAGGAGCUCGGACUGUGGCAGCAGGAGUGGUUCUAUAUCACCGCUCCGAAGGGCAGCAAGCAAAAGCCGCCGCCUUCAUUCCGCCUGGUACCUCCAUGCCGACUGAUGUCGUGGGUCAACCAAGGGCUAAAUUGGGGGCCGUCCGAAGACGUGCCCUCAUUGCAGGGCCGGAUUCGAGACCUCCAGGCGAGGGAGAUCAAUCUAGUCGUGGUGAUGCAGGUUAUGCUAAUCAGGCGUCUUCUGCCCUGCAAACGCCGUCCUCUCCGGUUAUGGGAGUUCAAUCCGGAGGGACCACGAAUUCUCCAACACUUCAUGGGUGCGACACCCGUGGAGAUGUACAAGUUGUUCUUCGAACCGCUGGUGGUGUGUCCGGAAUUGACCGAGGACGUAGGCUUAAGCUGCAAUCGCCCGGAUACUCAGGUAAGUAGCUCAGAGUCCGGAUGUUCUGUUUAUUUGCUUUUCUAGAAUUCGCCUCCUGACCCAUUACUCUUCAUCAGGAGUGGGUAGCGCGAUCGAAGCUGAUAAGGUGUCCGGCCCCCCUCCCAGAGACCGCACUGGAGCCCGUGCUGGUCAGAAUGUUGGAGGUCGCGCCCGAAGAAAGGGGCGAUGGGGAAAAUAGAAGAGUUAAUACCUCGCCCAAGGGGGCGCCUGAAGAGGGGGGGAUCGAAAAUCCCUCCCUCCAGGGGGAGAAGAGGACUGCCUCCGAAGACCUGGAGGCCAAAGCCCCUAAGCGGGAGAAGAAAUCUUCACCGGAGGGUCCUGCGUCCGGGGAGAACCCGGACGUGCAAUCGUCUCUAAAGGACCAGCCCUCUAGCGAGCCAUGAGUAGGGAAAGGGGAGUUUAUUAAUAAGAAAAUACCUCCAUUUGUGCUUCUGUGGAUAACCGAAAUUUUACUUUGCAGUUCGGAUUUGCGGACUUCUCAGAUGAGUUCGUCUUCGGGGGAUCUUCGUCCGGAGAUGAUGGAGAGCGAAACGCCUCCAUCUGCUGCGUCGCCGGACAGGGCAGAUGAGCCUGAAGUAUCAUCACGGAGGGUGUCCCCGAGCCCGGUGAGGCUGGAGAGUUCGGCGCCGACUAGUGUCCGACCGGGGGAGCCGAAGAGUCUGCUUGAGAGGGCGUCCAUCUCAGAAGAUCACCGUGCUUUGAUGAGUAUGUUGAUCGGAAGGAUUUCGUCCGCCGAAAGCGGAUUGCAUAAUGCCGUCAGGAGUUUGCUGGCGGGAUUUGAGGUACGUAAGAACGACGCACCUUUUUGACAGUUUUGCACAUAGAAGUGCGCCCUGUAUAGAUAAUAGCCCCUGAGACUCGGCAGGUUGUCGAAAGCGACAGCGUGCCGAGGAUCAAAAUCGCAGGUAUUGAAAGUUGUCCUACCUAUGUAGGUGACGGAUAGUCCGGGGGCUAGCCGGACUAGUGGAGUUGUUGAGUUAAUGCGGCAACUUGAUGUGGCGGAUGCGGACAUCGCGCUUAUCAACCGACGACUUGACGAGUCGCAAGGUAAAUGAAUUCUCCGCAGUCUCUUAUUUGAGGGAGCCAAAGCCCGCCUCUGAUAAUAUAUAUGCUGUGAUACAGAUGGUGCUGCUGCUGUGGAGAACCUUCGUGCCGACCUUGCUCAAGCUAAGGAGCAAGCCCGAAGGAGUGAUGCGGCUGCCUCGAGGGCGGCCGAAGAGUUGAAAGCCGAAAAGGCUGCACACUGCCUAAGCAGGGAAAAGAUGGCCGAAUUGGCUGUGAAAUUAAAAGAUGCUGCCGACCGCAAUGAGGCUCUUGAAAAGGAGCGCUUAUCGGAGCGGGAAAACCUGGUGAAGGCCACCGUUGAGGCCAAGGAUGCCCAUUCUGCAAUGCGGGCUAUGAAGGAGGAGCUGCGCCAGGCCGGCGAUAUUGUGGCUGACAAGCUGUUUCUGCUGCGUCGCCGGUUUAUGGAUCAAAAAUAUGCCCAACUUGGCCAGCUGUGGGGUCCGGAGGAUCCAUAUAUGGACUUAGCGGCAAGUGCGGCUGAUGCCGUUGAGCACUUCCGGAGCCAGAAGGAUCACAAGAUGGAAGAGCUAUUUUGGUAUCAAUUCCAUAGUCCGGAUCGUUCACUUCCGUUGACCGAUCGGUUGGCCGAAUGGGCUGAGCUAAAUAGAUUGUCCGGACUUGCCAUGACUGAUAUCGUGGCUCAUGUCUGGCCAGAGAGGCCCAAGGCGACGAGCUAUUUCGGCUUAUUGCAGCAAUUUCUUGGAGCGGUGCCGCAUAUCAAGGAGAUGAAGCGGUCGGCCUACAUAGAUGGCGCGCGCAUGGCCCUUGCCCGUGUGAAGACACAUUGGACAGAGAUGGAUGCCACCGCUAUUGCCACCCAGGGUUCGGACGAAAGCCGGUUACCCGCCGAGCACUAUUUUGGGGAAGUUAUGCGUGGCGCUCGUGUAAUAGAGUCGCAGUGCUCAAAAAAUGUUACGUUCAAAUGAACGUUUUUAUCUUGUAAGACAAUGAUUAUAAUGUAACCACUUUUUAGACUUGUGCGUCCCAAGUAUUAAAAUAUCUCCUAUGCGACCGUUUAUGUAUACAUUUGUAUAACCUGAAAGAUUGCAGUCUUCGGCUUCAGCCCCCACGCACAAGGUGCGGGGGUGUUCGCAAAAAUAGUGCCUUUUCACACUUAAUCCGACGUCUCGGUCCUGUUAUGAAGGUGGUAGCGUAGCAAACAAGGCAAUCCGGACUAUUAUGCUUUAUCACUUUCACUUAGCCAGUGGAGUUCGAGGGUGGGGCUAUGAUAUAGCCCCUUGGGGCAUCGCGCUUCUCCGAAUUCGGGGCGCGUGUGUGCCUGACCGGGAAACGGUCCUUCAUCAAAGUGGGGAAUUCUAAACAUUCCGGUAGUCGAUCGAGUGGUUGACCAGUCUCUCACUGUAUCAUGACAGUCAGUUUUCGGCUUUCUCUACUGAGGUGCUCGCCCAGCCGAACUGGGGCACAAUCGCAGUAGUUCUCCUGGUGCCGCGUUAGCCGAUGAUACGGAACGUAAGGCAGCAAAACACAGGAGCCGGGCAAACCCAACAUUUGACCAAAGACAUGAUUCGGAGCUGAUGCAUAUAAGGCCUAACUCGAGGCGCCGAACACUCCCUAAGGUGUUCGGUCUUUGUAAUAAUGGGCAGAACAAUGCCCUGAGCCCCUAGUGUCCAGGUACGGGCAUGGUCUUCUGACGUGGCCGAUGCCAAAACGUCAAGCUCCGCUUUGGCUAUAAUGAGAAACCAAGGGAUUAUAACAACAAGAGACAGUAAAAAAGGUUUACGCAGGGUCUUAACUUGAAAAGAAUCCUCGCAACGGGUCCCUACUGCACGUCUGUGCUUGUGUCUCCAUUGUGCCGUUAUCCUGGACGGGUGUGCACGUUGUUCAUCUGUAAAAAGAAUUUGUGCAAAAUAUAUACGAAGAAAGAAAUAUAAAUAAGUAAAGUGGAGUCUAUGUGAGCUCGCUGUUGCAGCCCCUUGUGAAGGGAUGUGCGGCUAGGGAGCCCCUAGCUUACUUAUGCCGGACUCGCCUAACCGUGUCUGGGGUCUUUAAAUGACCCUCGCACUGAAAUUAUGCCACGUGGACCGGGCAUCUUGAGUGUAAGAGACGCGUAAUGUGGUAUGUCGUUGAAGCGAACAAAAGCUUCUCGUCCCAAGAGUGCUUGAUAGCUGCUUUUAAAUGGGACUAUAUGAAAGAUUUGUUUUUCGCGUCGAAAGUUGUUCGGUAAUCCGAACACAACUUCUAGUAAUAGGGAGCCUGUGCACUUGGUGUAUGGGCCUGGCGUCACUCCUUUAAAGGAAGUGCGGCUGUGUCGAAUUGUAGUUAGGUCUAUCCCCAACUUGCGGAUUGUGUUUGAAUACAGCAGGUUUAAGUCGCUGCCUCCGUCCAUCAGGACUUGUUUAAAUUGUAGUCCGUCGAUUAUGGGAUCCAAUAUCAGGGCAGUCCAUCCUGCAUUUUGAACGCUUCUGGAAUAAUCCAGGUGGUCGAAAGUGAUUGGUUUUGAUGUCCAAUCUCUAUGUUUCGCUGGAUUGGACCGUGCGAGACCCAUUUUAAUGGGUGCCGCACUGUUUUUCUGUAUUAUCACAUGAAGUGAAUUUACUGCUUUGACCUCUUGUGGGAAAUUCUUUUGUUUUCCGGUGCUCUGCUGGUGGGGUUUGUCAUCUUCGCUUGACGCGUCGAGCCCCUUGUGUUCGGCGUUUAGUCGGCCGGACUGUUUGAAAACCCAACAAUCCCGAUGGGUGUGGUUUGCAGGCCUUCCGGGGGUACUGUGGAUUUGACAUAUCCGACCCAAAAUCUUGUUUAAGUUGGAUAGCUCAUUGAUGUCAUCCUUAAGAUGUGGUGUUUUGUUGUUUGGCCGCGAGCUUUUGAAUUCGGCGUUGACUGUCGUGCUCUUUGGGCUUUUCUCUUUAUUCCGGCGCUGCUCUUUUCUGCGACGUGAUUAUCCGUUUCCAUCCCUGAUCUCGGAUGUACUUGGGUCGCUGGUGCUGCAUCUUGCUAGCCAGCUAUCCUCUCCUGCAUAGAAGCGGGUCAUGAGGCUUGUUAGCGCGGACAUUGUCCUCAGCUUCUCUUGGCCGAGGUGUCUGGCAAUUCAUUUGUCUCGGACGUUGUGUUUAAAAGCUGCUAAGGCUUCGGCGUCCGGACAGUCGACUAUUUGGUUCUUUUUGGUGAGGAACCUGUUCCAGAAUUUGCAUGCUGACUCUCCGGGCUGUUGAGUUAUAUGACUUAGAUCAUCUGCAUCCGGAGGGUGGACAUAAGUCCCUUGAAAAUUUGCUCUAAACGCGUCCUCGAGCUCUUCCCAACUUCCAACAAUGUUUUCUGGGAGGCCUUUAAGCCAAUGACGGGCUGGCCCUUUGAGCUUGAGGGGUAGGUAUUUUAUGGCGUGGAGAUCGUCUCCUCUAGCCAUGUGUAUGUGUAGUAUAUAAUCCUCUAUCCAGACUCCAGCGUCUGUUGUUCCGUCGUAGGCCUCUAUGUUCAUAGGUUUAAAUCCUGCUGGGAAUUCAUGAUCCAGCACCUCGUUGGUGAAACAUAGUGGGUGUGUGGCGCCCCUGUAUUUGGGUGCAUCGCUGUCUUCGGACACUUGUCGUGCUGCAUUGUUUCCUGGGGCCCUCUUCUUUGGCCCGUAAAUGGACCUGGCUGGGCCAUCUGUCUGUCCAGGGUCGUUAGUCGGCUUAUAUGCGGCGCCGCUUUCAAAUUUUGGCCUAUCAUCUGGCCAUCUAUCCAACCAGGCGGCCUCUUUGUUUUUUGACUGUGGGGGCUCUAUGGCCUCCUCAUCAAAUUCUGGUAGUAGCUUGCGCUUUGGGUAGCUCUUUGAUUGAUGGCCAUUACCGUAUUUGUCUGCGGUUUUGAGCACUUUGCUCCACCUCAUUCUGAGUGUGUCUUCCGCUUUUUUGAGCUUUCGUUUUUCCUUUUUCAAACUUCUUGCGGUGGCAACGAGUCUUUUCCGAAGGUUUUUAUUCUCCGGCGGUGUGUCCGGCGUGAGGUCGCCUGGACUGUUGUUUUCGCCGGGACUAGAUUGAUUAUCUGACUCGUCUUGUUCGGACGGUUGCUUGUCUGCGUGUUCGUCGUCCGCUGGUUCACCCUGCUGUAUUGCUGGGUCGUUAGGAGCGCUGUUGUUGUCGAGGCGGGACUUAGUGCGGCGUCUGCGUCGCCGUUUUGGUUGUUUGUCGGCGGGAUUAUCCUCUUCCGCGCCUUGUUGGUCCUCGUUAUCGCUUCCUUUUGGGGUGUCCACCAUGUAUACAUCGUAUGACGAGGUGGUCUUCCCUUGCCUUGUAGGCACUGUUUUCUGUUCAUCUCCGACAUCGUCUUCCAUACCGUCGAUGUCUUCGGAGUCGUAGUUUAGCAUGUCGGUAAGAUCAUCGACAGUGGCUACAAAGUGGGUGGUGGGUGGGCUCUGAAUUUCUUCGUCGUCCGUAUCCCAACCAUCUUGGCCAUAAUUCGGCCAGGACUCUCCGGAUAGCGAGAGAUGCUUUAGCGAAUUUAGGAUGUCGCCAAAGGGCGAGUGUUGGAAGAUGUCCGUGGCGGUGAAUUCCAUAACCGGCGCCCAAUCAGAUUCAAUUGGUGGGGGCGCGGGAGGUCCGGAGUCCGGCAAGGAGUCCGGCACCUCGGAGUCACGUGCUUCGUGAGGGACAAGGGCAGUGUUCGGCUCCAUCGCCGUGGAAGUUGAAGCCCCUGAGGCGGUGUCCAACCACCGGUCCUCGAUCCGGGCGGUCGGCUCCGAGCUAAAAGACGGAGCGGACUCGUGUGCGGCUACCAAGGCACUGUUCGGCGGCAGAGCUAGAUAUGCCCAUCGUAACAGUGCGGCGCGCUUGGCUGUGGCUCGAGUCCGUCGAAGAUCAAGUCUCCGCGGAUGUCGGCCGUGAAGUUUAGGCUUCCGAAUCUGACCUGACGGCCAGGGGCGUAGCUUUCGAUCUGCUCCAGAUGGCCAAGUGAAUUAGCCUGCAGUGCGAAGCUGCCAAAUACGAAGAUCUGUCCGGGGAGAAAAGUCUCACCCUGGACAGCGUUGUUGAUCGAAGAUGCCAUCUAGCCUAUCGGUGACGACACAGAGGAACUCUCAAUGAAAGCACCAAUGUCGGUGUCAAAACCGGCGGAUCUCGGGUAGGGGGUCCCAAACUGUGCGUCUAGGCGGAUGGUAACAGGAGACAAGGGACACGAUGUUUUACCUAGGUUCGGGCCCUCUCGAUGGAGGUAAAACCCUACGUCCUGCUUGAUUAAUAUUGAUGAUAUGGGUAGUACAAGAGUGGAUCUACCACGAGAUCAACGAGGCUAAACCCUAAAGCUAGCCUAUGGUAUGAUUGUUGUAAUGUAUGUUGUGUCCUACGGACUACAGCCCUCCGGUUUAUAUAGACACCGGAGAAGGCUAGGGUUACACAGAGUCGGUUACAAUGGUAGGAGAUCUACAUAUCCGUAUCGCCAAGCUUGCCUUCCACGCCAAGGAAAGUCCCAUCCGGACACGGGACGGAGUCUUCAAUCUUGUAUCUUCGUAGUCUUGGAGUCCGGCGGACGAUGAUAGUCUGGCUGUCCGGACACCCCCUAGUCCAGGACUCCCUCAACCUCCUUUCCUACACAACAUUGAAAGGGUCCAUCUUCAAACUGGCUUGGUAACUGUUGUUAUAGGAGAACUCUGCAUAGGGUAAAUUAUCAUCCCAACUAGAUCCAUAAUCUAGCGCACAAGUUCUCAACAUGUCCUCUAGAAUCUGAUUGACUCUCUUGGUCUGUCCAUCUGUCUGCGGGUGAAAGGAUGUACUGAACUCUAGCCUGGUACCCAAAGUUUCGUGCAACUGUUUCCAAAACUUUGAAGUAAAAUGUGUUCCUCUAUCUGAUACGAUGGUCCUCAGAACUCCAUGCAGACAUACGAUCCUGGUCAUGUAUAUCUUCACCAACUUAGCACCCAUAUAGAUUGUUUUCACAGGGAUGAAAUGGGCUACCUUGGUCAAGCGAUCAACUACAACCCAGAUAGAGUCAUAGCCUGAACGGGUCCUGGGUAAUAAGGUGAUGAAAUCCAUGCCAAGUUUUUCCCACUUCCAUUUGGGUAUCAGCAAAGGCUGAAGUAACCCUGCUGGUUUCUGAUGUUGUGCCUUAACUCUCUAACAUACGUCGCAUACUGCUACAUACUCUGCAAUAUCCUUCUUCAUUCCUGUCCACCAGAAACUCUCCUUCAAAUCCAGAUACAUCUUGGUGUUGCCCGGGUCAAUGGAAUAAGGCCAAUCAUGAGCCUCCUGAAGAAUUAACUUCCUGAUCUCAGGGUCAUUGGGCACAUAGAUACGAUCCUCAAACCAUAAAGUUCCAUGCUCAUCCUCAUGAAAACCUUUAGCCUUUCCUUUACUCAUCCUUUCCUUUAUCUCUGCAAUCUCCUUGUCCGUCUUCUAGGCUUCUCGGAUCUUUCCCAGCAAAGUGGACUGAAUUUCCAGUGCUACAACAUAACCUCUUGGAACUAUCUCCAAGCGAAGUUCUCGGAGAUCAUCGGCUAACUCCUGAGGUAAUCCUCCGGUUAUGAGUGUGUUAACAUAACUCUUGUGGCUCAAAGCAUCUGCUAUGACAUUGGCCUUUCCUGGAUGAUAAUGCAAUCUCAUGUCAUAAUCCUUUAUGAGCUCCAAUCAUCUCCUCUGUCUGAGGUUUAACUCCUUCUGCGUGAAGAUGUACUUCAAACUCUUAUGAUCCGUGUAAACAUCGCAACGGUUUCCGAUAAGGAAAUGUCUCUAUGUAUUGAGCGCAUGCACUACGGCUGCUAACUCCAAAUCAUGCGUGGCAUAAUUCAACUCAUGAGGUCGAUGCUGUCGUGAGGCAUAUGAAACAACUCUUCCUUCCUGCAUAAGAACGCCUCCAAGUCCCUGACGAGAAGCGUCGUAAUACUUGGAAAUCCUUGCGUAUAUUCGGGAGAAUCAGCACUAGGGCUGUAACCAAAAAUUUCUUAACCUCCUGAAAACUAGCCUCACAAUCCUCGGUCCAUUUAAACUUGGUGUCUUUCUUCAAUCACUCCGUCAUGGGCUUCGCGAUCUUGGAAAAAUUCUCAAUAAAUCUCCGAUAAUAACCUGCGAGUACAAGAAAACUUCUGAUCUCUCCAGCUGAGGUGGGUGCCAACCACUCAGUGACAGAUGCAACCUUGGUAGGGUCAACUACUAUCCCUUCUCCUAAUAUAACAUGUUUGAGAAAUCCAACUUCCUUCAACCAAAACUCACAUUUGCUGAACUUGGCAUACAACUGAUGUUCCCUGAGCUUCUCAAGAACCAAGCACAAAUGUUCCUUAUGUUCUCCUUCAUUCUCCGAGUAGACCAAUAUAUCGUCAAUGAAAACCAUGACGAACUUGUCCAAGAACUCCAUGAACACCUUGUUCAUCAUACUCAUAAAAUAGGCAGGGGCAUUAGUCAAACCAAAUGACAUAACUGUAUACUCAUAUAGCCCAUACCUCGUGGUAAAAGCUGUCUUAGGUAUAUCUUGCUCUCGAAUCUUCAGCUGGUGAUAGCCUGAUCAAAGAUCGAUCUUGGAUAAAACUUUAGCUCCUUGCAGCUGGUCAAACAAAUCAUUGAUCAUUGGCAAAGGGUAUUUGUUCUUCAUCAUCACCUCAUUAGGUGCGCAAUAAUCAACAACCAUCCUUAAAGAUCCAUCCUUCUUCUCAACUAGAAGCACUGGGAUCCCCAAGGUAAUGAGCUUGGUCGAAUAUAACCUUUCUCCAAUAACUCCUUAACCUGCUUCUUUAUUUCCUCCAAAUCAUUGGCGGGCAUCCGAUACGGUCUAUUGGAUAUUGGUCCGGUGCCUGGCAACAACUCUAUCAAAAACUCAAUGUCUCGAUCUGGUGGCAUGCCUGGUAACACCUACGGAAAUACAUUGGGGUAAUCCUUCACAACUGGUACUUCGUCCUGAACAAUUCUCGAAAGGGAAUUCACUUGAGUUCUCCUCGGCACAUGCCUAGACACAUACUUGAUCCUUUUUCCUUCUAGGGUGGUGAGAAGAAUCGAUUUACUGGCACAAUCGAUGUUUCCUUCAAACUUGGAUAGCCAAUCCAUGCCUAGGAUCACGUCCAAACCUUGUGACUCUAGGACAAUAAGGUCGGUGGGGAAAACGUGUCUAGCUAUGGUUAUUGGCAACUGAUAACAUCCCCGACUAGCCAUAUACUCUGCUCCUUGGAAACUCACUAACAUAGGUGACUUAAGGGCUACGGUUGGCAACAGGGGGUGGUGGCGGUGGGUUGUUGUUGUUGUUGCCUUGGUUCUGGAUCAUCAUUUGCAUCAAGGCAUUCUGUUGUUGGAUCAACCGGGUGAGCUCCGGCGGAAAAGUGAAUCUGGGGUCACGUCUCGGACGCAUCUGAUGGGUGAGAGGGGUGAGAAGACAAAAUAGAAUAAGGUCUAUGAGAGAUUUCACUACCCAUAUGCAUAUGAGGCAAAUAUAUUCAAUUCACACCACUCAACAUCAAACAAGGUUCACACAAACGAUCUAACUACUAUUAUAAAUCGAUCGAUUCUAACUACUUGGAAGAAUGCUACUAGUGAAAAGGUGGUCGUCUAGAAGUUUUGAUCGGUGGAAGAUUCCAUAAUGUCAGCUCCAGCUUCGUCUUCAUAAUCAUCAUGACUGUCAUCAUUAGCAUCACUGUCUGUGUUCAUGUCAUCUAAUAUGAUGUAGUCCUCCAAACGAAUAUCCACUUCAGGUUCUGGUUUUGGUUUCACCAUGGGUAUUCCUAGUCUCCUCUUCAGAUCUUCAUGCUUCUCCAGUAGCACAACAAUUUCUUCUUCAUAUCCAUCAUGUGUUGACUUGAGUUCCUCUUCUAGCUCAAUAUUCCUCUUCAUCACCUUCUUGGUCUUCUUCAUGAUAGAGCACAUCUGAUUCUCAUAUCGACGAAUGUGUUGAUCCAUGUCCUGAAUGUACGCUGCAAUUGAUCCAUCCUUCCUGGUGCGAAUCAUCUCCCAUUGCUCGUCUCGGCGUCCACAUAUCUGAUAGACUGUGUCUUCAAGAUCCUUGUGGUACACCUCACAAAUGCGUCCAAAGGUGAUGUGGGGUUGCCAUGUUCUUUCCUAAGCUCCAAGUUUGUGCAUCCAAGGUAAACUCGAUGGGCUCGGUUGUUGGUGCAAAUGUCCUCCCAGGUACACAAACUUUGAUCCUUUAGCGCUCCUCUUCUGGUAAGGUUGCAGUGAAGGUUCCAGUGAAGCUUGGUAGUCCGAUGUUCAGAUACUUUGUGACUUCCUUCAAGUGUCGUCCAAAAGGGGUGUCAUCAUCUGGCUGAGUGAACUUGUUCCUGGGGUCCGACAUCUGUAGAGUAGAAAUAGAGGAGGAUUAGAAAUGAGUAGAGAAGAGUAUCAUGUGGCUUUUCCUAGUGGUCGCGUCCCACAGUCAGCGUGUGCUCUGAUACCAUCUUGUAGCGAUCGCGAUCCCAAUGGACUGAAGUCUCUGUGCUUAAGUGUCAUCCCUGGAUCGGUAUGUUGACACACACAGUACUCGAGGAAUUAUAACAGAGUUUCAAUCACACACUUAUUAAAUCGAGGUCCUCAUAAAGAGUAUUUAUUACACAAAUAAUAUGGCUGAAGGCCAUCUAAUCAAGAUAGGGAUAAUUGGUUUUAUGCCUCUAGUUGUGUCCCACUCGGCUGGUUUGCCCCUAGUUUUCGAAAAUCCUCGGAUUUGUCCAAGUCCGUUUGCUCCUCUUGUGGUUUUGUCCUUCCGUUACGUUUCCAUCCAGUUAGUGCUGUUUGACCAUGUGUUGAUCGCCUUUGGACUUUUCGCUGGACCAUUCUACCCAUGCUUUCUCACUCUCUCACUAGACACUUCCAGGUGGGACCAUCAUAGAGAAAACUAUCUCUCUCUAUUCUCAAUGUCAUGUGGGACCCAUGCAGGGCCAAAUAUCUCGAAUGAGGGAGCCAUGUGUUGUAAACAGCAAAUAAUUAACACGUCAUGUUAACUAAUUAGAACAAUAGUAAUUAACACAAAUUAGUACUUAAGGUUGGUCCCACCACAAAUAUAAUUAAACAUUAGUCCAUAUGGUUACUAGCGAAAUAUACUAGCAAAUUACAUUGGGUCAAGUGUUAAAAAAAUUAACAUCAGGUCAACGAUUAAGCCGCAUGCCAUAGGUGAGCGAGGGAGCCAAAUGACCUCGCUGGAGCCAGAUGCGGGAGCUCAUCAAAUCUCCCCGUUGGGCGAGAGAAGGGGAAUGAGCUCACCGGAGCCAGCAUAAUCAAAGUCGGAGCUGAUGAAAUCCUCCUCAUCGGACGAGAGAAGGAGGAUGAGCUCGCAGGCGCCAUUGGUGUCGAUUCCACGCAUGGCCAACGGAUCUACGCGGCCGCGACUAUCACGGCCUACUCCACGCGAAGGGCGCCGGCCACCACCUCUACGGCAUGGAAGGAGGCCCGGGGGAGGCGCGCACCACCCUCCUCUACCAUCUCUCCCUACUGUGUGUCCUCGGCCGCUGCCUAUGUUGGCCACUGAUGAGAUCCGUGGCUCCACCAUCGACUGGAACCCCGCCGGCCUCCCUUGGAUCUCCUAACAAGCAAGAUAUGGGAGGCGAUGUUGGCCACCGACGGGUUCGACAGCCUUGUCCACACGCCGGCGUCAGCCUGGCCAUCGAUGGGGACGUCCGCGUGGUUGCUUGCCGUGGCCUUGCACUGAACCAUAGCGGUAGAGCAUUGAGGCUGGGGUACGGGAAUAAGAUUUGAGAGAGAGGGCGAGACGGGAACCAGGGGUUGACCGACAGGAGAGAAGAAAAAGAGGUUGGGCUAGCCUCCUCUGUGAUGGGUCCCACUUGGAAGUGUCUAGUGAGAAAGUGAGAAAGUAGGGGCAAAAUGGUCCAGAGAAAAGUUCAGAGAUGGUCAACACAAGGUCAAACGACACUAACUGGAUGGAAACGUGACCGAAGGGCAAAAACAUAAGACAGGCAAACGGACUCGGGAAAAACCGAGGAUUUUCAAAAACUAAGGGUAAACCAGCCGUGUGGGACACAACUAGUGGCAUAAAACUAAUUAUCCCAUCAAAAUAACCGCGGAAGCAUAGCUGAGUGCACGACAACAACCUAGCGCACCUUAUUCUUCGUCGGUAAAGUCUGAAACAUGAGACAUUGCAGCCAUGUAGGUCAGCACAUGGAAUAUGCUGGCAGAGUUACACUGUAGAGCAAAAUGAAUGCAAGAAACUAUCUACAUGCAUAUUUGGCUGGUGGAGGCUCUAAGUUUAAUUUUGGGCAUAAAGCUAAUUUUCCCCUACAACAAAGGAAUAAAUUUUAUUUACUACAAAGUUUAUACCAAUAUUGAGAAGGUUCCUCCAACUCAAUUCCAAAAUUAACCAAGUAUCAUCGUUAAACCCAAUACAUUAAUUAAAGAGUGAUGAGAUCAACAUAAAUAUCCACUUAUAGAUACUCAAAUUGUCCAUAACCGGGGACACAGCUAACCAUGAUUAGUUUAUACACUCUGCAGAGGUUGCACACUUUUCCCACAAGACUCGACCGCAUCCAUGAUUGGAAGAUCGAGACAUAGUCUUUCUAAAGCAUUAACUCUCUACUCUGGGUAGACCGGUACACCCACUUUCCCCUACAUCUUCUAGUCCACCUCGUCAAGAGCUCACACAACUUACUCAACUAUGCCAGAGCCCAUAAUGGCUUGUGGCUGCACACGGAAGUAUCUAGGCAUGAAAUAUCAUAUGAUCCCUUUGAGCCUGGGUGGCGAACCGAGGGAAAAUCACACGGGUACUCCGGGAUUCCCAUGGGCAAGCACUGGUUUCUCCAGGUGCCCCAACCAAUCCACCCAGAUGUGUAUUAAAGUUGCCACCUUAAUGUUGUCCAAAAUUAUUAUCUCUCACAAAUUCCAUGAAUAUCACAAACCAAUCCCCGUCUACGAGCAUGACUAAGCAAUAAAUGAGCAUAAUGUAUAUUCCCUGGGUGAUCAAAGGUAAUAGGUUCCUACCUCAAUUACUACAACCAAAACACAUGUUCCCAAUCCUACUACUCAUGCAAAUCUUUGAGGGGUAAAACUAAUGCACAGCAAAAACUGGGUAUUGAAAAGUAUGAUCAAAGUGUAACUUGCCUUGCUGACGAUCGGAAAACUCUAGAGAUUCAUAGUAACAAGCUUCGCACUCCGAAAAAUCUAGCAUAGACAAACAAUAGGAGACAUAAGCACUCAAGCAAACGAUGCAAAGAGAAAUUGAAGAAAAGAUCCAAAGAACUCAAAAAUAAGAAAAUAACUAAGCUAAACAAAAAAUAAAUUCUAACAGCAUUAUAUUUAUGUGGAUUAGAUCUUAACAGAAGGUACAUGUGAUUAGCUACGAUUUCCAAAAAGAAUCAACUCAAACGAAGCUACAAAACUCGAGAUACGAUCAAAACAAGAUCAAAUUCAAAUCUAAACUAAAAUCAAAUUUUAAAUUGUCAAAAACCUAUUCAAGUUGGUUUACUAGAUAGAUGGGAUUGUUCUGAAGAUUUUGCGGUUGGUUUCGUCAAAUUUGGAAAACGAGCAAAUAGUUGCGAGGGUUUAAAGAUUAGGGGCUAAUCUGCGAAGAAAAUAUUCGCAGAUAGGUCCCUAGCCAAAAAUUAAAAUAAAAAGAAAAAACUACCGAACGAACUUUCGCUACAGAACCUAAUCUAAUGAAUCUGUUUGCUACAGAAUCUAAAUGAACGAACCCUCGCUAAAUAACUGAACUAAAUAAAAUAAACCAGAUCUAACAGAAAAACCAAAAAAAAACGGAUCGGACCGGGGCGGUUUUUUACCGGUUCACGGCGGCGACGGGGCUUGGGUUCGACGAUGCGAUGGUGGCGGGCUCCGGCGACAGCGGCUGUCAGCGACGACAUCGGCGGCGGUGUGCGGCGGCAAGUGCGGCACGACGGCGGGGCUUGCGGGCCGCGCGAGCGGCGAGUGCUGCGGGCGGUGACAGAAAGUGUGGUGGUGGCGGCGCGGGUUGAGACGAGGAGAGAGGGGCCGGGUCCUUGCUAUUUAAGGGGGGCCAGGGUGUGCGGGCGGCUUGGGGAUGGGGAAAGCGGGGCGGCAGCGGUCUCGGAAUCCGGGCCGGACUCCGGCAGCGGCGGCGGCGUGGCGUGGCCGAACUCCUAGCCGGAGUCGGUCGUGUGGCGUGGGAGGAGCUGGGCCUUGGCUUGGCGGCUAGCUGGGCCGGCCCAGUUCGGUGGGAAGUUUUUUUUAAACAAUUUUUGCAGAGACAUAAACACACUAAAUAAAUAUAAAUAAAAUCCAAAAAAUACCCCUAAAUUCACGUUGUAAUAUGACCUUAUUAUUGACCUAGUGAACAUUUUUCUGGGCAUAAAUGCCUAAACGAAAAACAAACAUUAUAGUACUAAUUACUCCACUAACAAAAUAGACUAGCGAAUAAAAUCAAAUAAAUUCUCCAAAAAUUCAAAAAUUCAAUUGCCAAUCUUUCUUUGAUGAUUUUGAAGAUGUCCUUUUAUCUUCUCUCUUUACUUUAAAAUAUUUGGAAAAGAAUUUUGAAAAAAAAUUUGAUCCAAUUACCAAAUUUUGAUAAAUCAAAAUUGGAUUUUUGUGAAACCUCCAACUCUCUCAAAUUGGUCCUUGAGUUGCUUAAGGUCUCUUGGAUCAAAAUGCAACUAAAACAAAGCAACAAAAUGCAUAAUUCAUGGAUGCAUAAGAGUGAUCUAUGAAUAACAUCCAAAUUGAAAAUUGGGAUGCUACACCUGCUAACCAUACAGGUGGUUUGAGAGGUAAUCAUCAGUGAACUGCUUUGGAAAGGCCUGAAAACAAGGAUAUGCAUAAAUAUCUUCUCCAGAUUUGAAAUGGCGCAAAGGAAUUAAAAGGACAAGGUAUAACAGUUAGUACCAUCCCGUAGUGAACUGAUGUCUUCUUCAUUGUGCAGACAAAGAUCUUGUUGUUUUUUGUCGCUAAUUUCUUUAUCGUAACAAUCUUUUUGAGUUUCUUGACUUGACUGAUAUUAAUGGAUAACUCAUUUCCACAUAUGCAAAAAGGGUCAAAUAGUGGGUCAAAACCUCUGACAGCAGGACCUACAUGUGCAAGACCAAAUUGUUAAAAACCUAAUAUUUAAAAACAAGAAGUGGAAAGUGUGUUAUUAACUGCAAUAGGCCUAAUAUUUUAAAACAAGCAAACAUGGUCAUUCAGACUUGUAUUGUGCAGGUCUAAGUACACUAGUUAUUGUCCCUUUUUGGAUCCAUGGGUUAGAGUUAGUUUGAGCUAGUUUGGGCUCAAAUUGCCCUAAAGUAUCCAAACACGAGGGCUAGUUUGAGCUAGUUACGUCAAACUCACCGAAAACAACUAUCCCACCCAAGAGGUGCUGAUUGGGGCUAGUUCUCCUAGUGCAUUUAUUGUCAAUCUAACACUGUCAUCCAAACACCUCUUCGGCUAGAGUUAGUUUAGGGUUAGUCAUUUUUUAGUAUCAAUGUUAUUUAGGAAACGUAAGAUAGCGUAGGAUUUAUUCUACCUUGACUUGUACUCCAAGAUGACCAUGUACUCCUAUAUAUAUGCCCACGAGGCUCAAGCAAUACAAUCAACUAUUCCACCAUUCUCUCUCUCUCUCUCCAUUUUAACUGUCAUGAGCUAGAAACUAACUCUAACCUCUAAAUAAGUUAGAGUAUUCAAACAGUGCCAUUGUUAAAUCAAAUGGAAAGGCGCAUUCAGUACUCCCUCCAGUCCUUUUUACUCUGCAUAUAAGAAUUGUGUGAAGUAAAACUUCAUAAAGUUUGACCUUAUUUAUAUGAAAAAAUAUCAACAUCUAGCAUGCUAAAGUUAUACAAUAUGAAAUAAGUCAUGACACAUGUACUGAUUUUUAUUUCAUAUUGUGAAUGUUGGUAUUUUGUUCUAUAAAGUUGGUCAAACUUUAAGAGGCCUGACUUUAGACAAAUCUUGUAUGCGAAAUAAAAAGAUUCAGAGGGAGUACAACAUGCUUAACAACAACCAAAUAGUCAUUCAUAGAGCUAUUGUUAAAUUUGGUAUUAAUGAAAUUGAACUGCACAGUUCAUACUAGCACAUAUAGAACAUCACACUGUUAAUAGCUGAAAUAAACAAGGCAUACUACGAACAACCAAAGAUGGCAAUUGAAACUGGACAUAUGCUAACUACAAACAACCGAACAACCAUAAACCAUAGAAAUAAACAAUGCAUAAUGCAAACAACCUAAUAUAGCAAUAAAUACUAGACACGUUCUCACUACAAAAGGGGUUCGAGAAAACAAAUCAUGGAUUUCCUCACUUGUCAUAGAUGGGCUCCCCUCGUGGUCACCGUUGAUGAGGUCUGACUUGCUAGCUGAGCAUCCCAAGCCAGCAUCACAUAACUUGUCCUUCAGAAAUGAAAAAAGGAGCUCCAUGGCUAUGAAGGACGGCAAAUUGUUCAUAACGAGCCGCAGGAGAUCAGCAGCUGGGCCAUCGAUGAGAUCGAUUACUGUCGAACCCGAAUGUUUGGGGGUGGGCAACUUAACCUGUGACAUAACCCGCAUCAAGCCGCCGGUGUCGACGACCUCGAUGUCGUAGCCAGCGUCCGCAACAUGCCAGAAUACUCUAGCCCGCUGAUUGAAAGGCUCAAUCUAGGUCCAGUCAUUAUCGUCAGCUUCCUCGACGGCCACAUCGCUUACAUCACGCGAAGAGGCCGCGGUAAAGCUCUUUUGGGCCAUUCACUCCUCAAGCUCAUUGGGAAGCGUAGCCGGGCUUAGGCUGCAACGCUCUGGAGUGGCGGAGAGGGGGUGUGUGGAUUGAUAACCCACAAGUACAGGGGAUCGCAACAGUUUUCGAGGGUAGAGUAUUCAACCCAAAUUUAUUGAUUCGACACAAGGGGAGCCAAAGAAUAUUCUCAAGUAUUAGCAGUUGAGUUGUCAAUUCAACCACACCUGGAUAACUUAGUAUCUGCAGCAAAGUAUUUAGUAGCAAAGUAGUAUGGAAGUAACGGUAACAGUGGCAAAAGUAACAGUAGCAGUUUUGUAGUAAUUGUAACAGCAGCAAUGGUAAAGUAUAUAAGUGAAGCACAAUAUGUGAAAAGCUCGUAGGCAUUGGAUCAGUGAUCGUUAAUUAUGUCGGAUGCGGUUCAUCAUGUAACAGUUAUAACAUAGGGUGACACAGAACUAGCUCCAGUUCAUCAAUGUAAUGUAGGCGUGUAUUCCAAAUAUAGUCAUACAUGCUUAUGGAAAAAAACUUGCAUGACAUCUUUUGUCCUACCCUCCCGUGGCAGCGGGGUCCUAAUGGAAACUAAGGGAUAUUAAGGCCUCCUUUUAAUAGAGUACCGGACCAAAACAUUAACACUUAGUGAAUACAUGAACUCCUCAAACUACGGUCAUCACCGAGAAGUAUCUCGAUUAUUGUGACUUCGGGGUUGUCGGAUCAUAACACAUAAUAGGUGACUAUAGACUUGCAAGAUAGGAUCAAGAACUCACAUAUAUUCAUGAAAACAAAAUAGCUUCAGAUCUGAAAUCAUGGCACUCGGGCCCUAGUGACAAGCAUUAAGCAUAGCAAAGUCAUAGCAACAUCAAUCUCAGAACAUAGUGGAUACUAGGGAUCAAACCCUAACAAAACUAACUCGAUUACAUGGUAAAUCUCAUCCAACCCAUCACCGUCUAGCAAGCCUAUGAUGGAAUUACUCACGCACGAUGGUGAGCAUCAUGAAAUUGGUGAUGGAGGAAGGUUGAUGAUGACGACGGCGAUGAAUCCCUCUCUCCGGAGCCCCGAACGGACUCCAGAUCAGCCCUCCCGAGAGAGAUUAGGGCUUGGCGGCGGCUACGUAUCACAAAACACGAUGAAACUUUCUCUCUCAUUUUUUUCUCCGUGAAAGCAAAUUUAUGGAGUUGGAGUUGAGGUCAGUGGAAGUCUAGGGGGCCCACGAGGCAGGGGGCACGCCCUAGGGGGGGCCACCCUCGUGGAUAGGGUGUCGGCCCCCUGACAUUGAUUCUUUCGCCAGUAUUUUUUAUUAAUUCUUAAAAGUUGCUCCGUGGAUUUUCAGGUCAAUCCGAGAACUUCUAUUUCUGCACAAAAAUAACACCAUGGCAGUUCUACUGAAAACAGCGUCAGUCCGGGUUAGUUCCAUUCAAAUCAUGCAAGUUAGAGUCCAAAACAAGGGCAAAAGUUUUUGGAAAAGUAGAUACGACGGAGACGUAUCAACUCCCCCAAGCUUAAACCUUUGCUUGUCCUCAAGCAAUUCAGUUAACAAACUGAAAGUGAUAAAGAAAAACUUUUACAAACUCUGUUUGCUCUUGUUGUUGCAAAUAUGUAAAUCCAUCAUUCAAGUUCUCAGCAAAAUUAUGAACUAACCAUAUUCACAAUAACACUUAGGUCUCAUGUUUACUCAUAUCAAUGGCAUAAUUAACUAGCGAGCAAUAAUAAUAAAUCUCGGAUGACAACACUUUCUCAAAACAAUCAUAAUAUGAUAUAAUAAGAUGGUAUCUCGCUAGCCUUUUCUGAGACUGCAAAACAUAAAUGUAGAGCACCUUUAAAGAUCAAGGACUGACUAAACAUUGUAAUUCAUGGUAAAAGAGUUCCAGUCAUAGUCAUACCCAAUAUAAACUAAUAGUAAUGCAUGGAAAUGACAGCGGUGCUCUCCAGCGGGUGCUUUUUAAUAAGAGGGUGACGACUCAACAUAAUAGUAAAUAGAUAGGCCCUUGACAGAGGGAAGCAGGGAUUUGUAGAGGUGCCAGAGCUCGAUUUUGAAAUAGAGAUAAAUAACUUUCUGAGCGGUAUACUUUUACUGUCAACAUAACAACUGAGAGAUCUCGAUAUCUUCCAUGCUAUACACAUUAUAGGCGGUUCCCAAAGAGAAUGGUAAAGUUUAUACUCCCCCACCACCAACAAGCAUCAAUCCAUGGCUUGCCCGAAACAACGGGUGCCUCCAACUAGCAACAAUCCUGGGGGAGUUUUGUUUGCAAUUAUUUUGAUUUGAUUUGAGCAUGGGACUGGGCAUCCCGGUGACCAGCCAUUUUCUCAUGAGUGAGGAGAGGAGCCCACUCCUCUUGAGAAUAACCCGCCUAACAUGGAAGAUACAGACAGCCCUAGUUGAUACAUGAGCUGUUCAAGCAUACAAAACAGAAUUUCAUUUGAAGGUUUGGAGUUUGGCACAUACAAAUUUACUUGGAACGGCAGGUAAAUACCGCAUAUAGGAAGGUAUGGUGGACUCAUAUGGAAUAACUUUGGGGUUUAUGGAGUUUGGAUGCACAAGCAGUAUUCCCGCUUAGUACAGGUGAAGGCUAGAAAGAGACUAGGAAGUGACCAACUUAGAGAGCGACAACAGUCAUGAACAUGCAUUAAAAUUAAUCAACACUGAGUGCAAGCAUGAGUAGGAUAUAAUCCACCAUGAACAUAAAUAUCGUGAAGGCUAUGUUGAUUUUGUUUCAACUACAUGCGUGAACAUGUGCCAAGUUAGGUCACUCAAAUCAUUCAAAGGAGAAUACCACCCUAUCAUACCACAUCACAACCGUUUUAAUAGCAUGUUGGCACGCAAGGUAAACCAUUAUAAACUCAUAGCUAAUUAAGCAUGGCAUAAGUAACUAUAAUCUCUAAUUGUCAUUGCAAACAGGUUUAUUCAUAAUAGGCUGAAUCAGGAACGAUGAACUAAUCAUAUUUACAAAAACAAGAGAGGUCGAGUUCAUACCAGCUUCUCUCAUCCCAAUCAGUCCAUCAUAUAUCGUCACUAUUGCCUUUCACUUGCACGAUCGAACGGUGUGGAUAAUAAUAAUAGUGCACGUGCAUUGGACUAAGCUAGAAUCUGCAAGCAAUCAAUUCAAGGGAGAAGACAAAGUAAUAUGGGCUCUUGGUUAAAUCAACAAUAAUGCAUAUAAGAGCCACUUAAACAUUUUCAUCAAGGUCUUCUCCUCUCGACCCCCAAAGGAAAGAAAAGAAAUAAAACUAUUUACACGGGAAAUCUCCCAACAAGCAAAAGAAGAACGAGAAAUAUUUUUGGGUUUUCUUUUAGUUACUACUACUACAGGCAUGGAAAGUAAGCUAACUAUUUUUUUUAGUUUUUCUUAAGGUUUAUCAAACACACAAGAAGAAAGCUAGAAAAAGAAAAUAAACUAGCAUGGGUAGUACAAUGAAAGAGUAUGAGCACCGAUGACUAGAAUGAGUGUGUGAACAUGAAUGUAAUGUCGGUGAGAAAUACGUACUCCCCAAAGCUUAGGCUUUUGGCCUAAGUUGGUCUAUGGCAUGGGUAGCCUGGCUGAUACCCGAAGUUGUAACUGGGGUCGUACUGAGAUGCGGCAGCCAUUGGCUCCUGAGCUGCAGCCUGGCAGCGAGCUGCCUCCGUCCUCCUCUCGUACUCGUGCGGCUCCUCCCUGGUUAUAACAUAUCUUCCUUUUGCCUGAUAGUCAAAGAGGGCAGGAGCAGGGAGAGUAAUAUGAACAGCGCGACGUCUGUCAAAGAUUAGUUGAUACUGGAGGAAUUGUUCAUUCCUCUCAAGAAAAUGAUGAUUAACCAUGGCAUUAUAAUCUAAAUAAGCGGGAGGCAACUCCCUAUCAUUUUCAUGUACGGGUGUACCAAGAUAAUUAGCCACACGGAUCGCAUAAAUCCCCACAAACAAAUCUCCAGUUAAACCAUUAUUAUGCAACCUACAUGCAACAAUUGCCCCCAAGUUGUAUUGUUUAUCACCUAAUACAACACUCUUGAGGACACAAAGAUCAGGAACACACAUGUGACAUGCUUCAUCUUUACCGUUAAUGCAUCUACCUAUGAAGGGAGCAAAAUAAUGUAUAGCAGGAAAGUGAAUGCUCCCUAUGGUAGCUUGUGCUAUUUCUCUAGAUUCUCCCACAGUGAUACUAGCAAGAAAGUCUUUAUAUUCAGAUUUACGAGGUUCAUUAACACUGCCCUACUGCGGGAGUUUACAAGCAGUAGUAAAGACUUCUAAGUCCAUGGUAUAUGAUUUAUCAUAAAGAUCAAACAUGACAUUCUGAGUAUUGCGCGAAGAUGUAAAUUUAAACCUUCUCACAAAGGAGUCAGUCAAAUGGUAGUAUUGAGGGCACUUAUCUUGCAUGAAGUCUUCAAGGUCAGCAUUAUGCACAUAUGCAUCAAAUUCAUCCUUGAUGCCUACUUUGACCAUAAACUCCUCUGAUGGCCAUUCACAAGGACGCACGUCGGCUUCCCUCGGUGGUUCGUCGUCCUGCUCACGUAUUGCGAUCCUGGGUCCUUUCUUCCUUGAAGAACCACCUUGUUCCAUUUUCCUGGACAUAUUUCUUCCUCUGAAAAAUUUCUGAAAUUUUUAGUAACUCAAAAUAAAAGUGAAUCAAACUCAAGAAAAUUGAUAGCAACUACUCCCACAAGUGCCUAGAGACUAUAUCAUGCAUUAGAAUUACUUGGGACCAUACAAAUUUGACAUGCAAGCUCAAGAACAGGGUCAGCUAGGCAGCAAAAAUUUGCAAUGAAUAAAGCACUAGAAUAAAAACUAAUUGGACCAUUGGAGGAGUCACAUACCAAAGAACAAUCCGCCAAAGCAGUUUUGUGAAUGGAGCUUUGAGCAAGGAGAUCGAAAAUGGCAGCAAAGUGAGCUAGAACUCGUGCUUGAGCUGGAUGGUGAUUUUUUUUGGGAGGAAGAAGAAGUGUGUGGGUGCAGGAGUAAGUGGAGGGGGGCCACCAUGGGCCCACGAGGCAGGGGGCGCGCCCUGGACCCCCAUGGCCAGGUGCCAGCUCCCCUGCUAUGUUCUCAGUGCCAGAUAUUCUCAAAUAUUCCAGAAAAAAUCAUACUAAACUUUCAGGGCAUUUGGAGAACUUUUAUUUUCGGGUUAUUUUUUUAUUGCAUGGAUAAUUUAGAAAACAGACAGAAAAUACUAAUUUUGCUUUAUUUAAUCCAAAUAACAGAGAGUAAAAGGAGGGUGCAAAAGGUUGUGCCUUCUAAUUUCAUCCAUUUCAUGCUCAUCAAAAGGAAUCCACUAACAAGGUUGAUCAAGUGUUGUUAAGAUACUCAUUCCGAAUAACAUGGAACCGGAGAAAUUUCGAAUAACACUAGGUUACCUCAACGGGGAUAUGAACAUCCCCAACAAUAAGAAUAUCAUAUUUCUUCUUGACAGUAGGGAGAGGAAAUUCAAAACCUCCAAUAAUAAUAGUUGAAAUUUUUCCAAUAGAAUUGAUACUGUGAACUUGAUGUUGUUUCCUCGGAAAGUGUACCGUAUGCUCAUUACCAUUAACAUGAAAAGUGACAUUGCCUUUGUUGCAAUCAAUAACAGCCCCUGCAGUAUUAAAAAAAGGGUCUACCAAGGAUAAUCGACAUACUAUCGUCCUCGGGAAUGUCAAGAAUAACAAAGUCCGUUAAGAUAGUAACGUUUGCAACCACAACAGGCACAUCCUCACAAAUACCAACAGGUAUAGCAGUUUAUUUAUCAGCCAUUUGCAAAGAUAUUUCUGUAGGUGUCAACUUACUCAAUUCAAGUCUACGAUAUAAAGAGAGAGGCAUAACACUAACACCGGCUCCAAGAUCACCUAAAGCAGUUUUAACAUAGUUUCUUUUAAUGGAGCAUGGUAUAGUUGGUACUCCUGGAUCUCCAAGUUUCUUAGGUAUUCCACCCUUAAAAGUAUAAUUAGCAAGCAUGGUGGAAAUUUCAGCUUCCAAUAUCUUGAUUUUAUUUGUAAUAAUAUCUUUCAUGUACUUAGCAUAAGGAUUUACUUUAAGCAUAUCAUUUAAGCGCAUAUGUAAGAAGAUAGGUCUAAUCAUUUCAGCAAAGCGCUUAAAAUCCUCAUCAUCCUUUUUCUUGGAUGGCUUAGGAGGAAAAGGCAUGGGUUUCUGAACCCAUGGUUCUCUUUCUUUACCGUGCUUCCUAGCAACAAAGUCUCUCUUAUCAUAACAUUGAUUCUUUGAUUGUGGGUUAUCAAGAUCAACAACAGGUUCAAUCUCUACAUCAUUAUUAUUGCUAGGUUGAGCAUCAACAUGAACAUUAUUAGUAACAUUAUCACUAGGUUCAUGUUCAUCACCAGAUUGUGUUUCAACAUCAGAAAUAGAAAUAUCAUUGGGAUUCUCAGGUGUGUUUACAACAGGUUCACUAGAAGCAUGCAAAGUCCUAUCAUUUUUCUUUUUCUUCUUUUUAGAAGGACUAGGUGCAUCUACAUUAUUUCUCUGAGAAUCUUGCUCAAUUCUCUUAGGGUGGCCUUCAAGAUACAAAGGUUACUGGGUCAUUUUACCCAUUCUAGUAGCCACUCUAACAGCAAAAUCAUGUUUAUUAUUUAAUUCAUCGAGCAAAUCACUUUGAGCUUAAGUACUUGUUCUGCUUGAGUGGUAACCAUAGAAGCAUAUUUACUAAUGAGCUUAAGUUCACCUUUAACUCUAGCCAUAUAAUCACUCAAGUGUCCAAUCAUGUAAGCAUUACUCUUUAAUUCUCUACCAACAUAAGCAUUGCAAUUUUCUUGUCUAGCCAUAAAGUCAUCAAAUUCAUCCAAACAUUGGCUAGCAAACUUAGUAUACGGGAUUUCAACUUGAUCAUACCUAUAGAGAGAAUUUACCUUAACUACCUGUGUCGGGUUAUCAAGACCAUGUGUUUCUUCAAUAGGUGGUAAAUUAAGACCAUGUAUUUCUUCAACAGGAGGUAAAUUCUUAACAUCUUCAGCUUUAAUAUCUUUUUCUUUCAUAGAUUUCUUUGCCUCUUGCAUAUCUUCAGGACUGAGAAAUAGAACACCCCUCUUCUUCGGUGUUGGUUUAUGAGUUGGCUCAGGAAGUGUCCAAUUGUUUUCAUUAGUCAACAUAUUAUUCAAUAACAAUUCAGCUUGAUCGAUAGUUCUUUCCCUGAAAACACAACCAGCACAACUAUCCAAGUGGUCGUUGGAAGCAUCAGUUAGUCCAUUAUAAAAGAUAUCAAGUAUUUCCUUUUUCUUAAGAGAAUGAUCAGGCAAAGCAUUAAGUAAUCGGAGAAGCCUCCCCCAAGCUUGUGGGAGACUCUCUUCUUUAAUUUGCACAAAAUUAUAUAUUUCCCUCAAGGCAGCUUGUUUCUUCUGAGCAGGGAAAUAUUUAGCAGAGAAGUAAUAAAUCAUAUCCUGGGGACUACGCACACAACCAUGAUCAAGAGAAUUAAACCAAGUUUUAGCAUGACCCAUUAAUGAGAAUGGAAAUAUCUUAAGGAUAUAAUAGUAGCAAGAUUUCUCAUCAUUAGUGAACAGGGUGGCUAUAUCAUUUAACUUAGUAAGAUGUGCCACAACGGUUUCAGAUUCAUAGCCAUAAAAGGAUCAGAUUCAACCAAAGUAAUUAUCUCAGGAUCGACAGAGAAAUCAUAAUCCUUAUCAGUAACAAAGAUAGGUGCAGUAGCAAAAGCAGGGUCAUAUUUCAUUCUAGCAUUCAGAGUUUUCUGUUUCAAUUUAGCUAAUAACUUCAGAUCUAUCAUUGCAAGAAAGAAAAUCUCUAGCAGUUUCUUCAUCCAUAACAUAACCCUCAGGAACAACAGGUAAUUCAUAUUUAGGGGGAGAACCUUCAUCAUCACUAUCUUCAAUAAUAUCAGUUUCAAGAAUUUCAUUCUCUCUAACCCUAGCAAGUUGUUCAUCAAGAAAUUCACCUAAUGAGACAAUAGUAUCAAGCAUAGAAGUAGUUUCAUCAUAAGUAUCAUGCAUAGUAGAAGUGUCAUCAUCAAUAACAUGUGAUAUAUCAGAAUUAAUAGCAGAAGCGGGUUUAGGUGUCGCAAGCUUACUCAUAACAGAAGGAGAAUCUAGUGCAGAGCUAGAUGGCAGUUCCUUACCUCCCCUUGUAGUUGAGGGAUAAAUCUUAGUUCUUUCGUCUUUCAAGUUCCUCAUAGUGAUUAGAAGAUAUAAAUCCCAAGUGGCUCAAAGAAUAGAGCUAUGCUCCCCAGCAACGGUGCCAGAAAAUAGUCUUGAUAACCCACAAGUAUAGGGGAUCGCAACAGUUUUCGAGGGUAGAGUAUUCAACCCAAAUUUAUUGAUUUGACACAAGGGGAGCCAAAGAAUAUUCUCAAGUAUUAGUAGUUGAGUUGUCAAUUUAACCACACCUGGAUAACUUAGUAUCUGUAGCAAAGUAUUUAGUAGCAAAGUAGUAUGGAAGUAACGGUAACAGUGGCAAAAGUAACAGUAGCAAUUUUGUAGUAAUUGUAACAGCAGCAAUGGUAAAGUAUAUAAGUGAAGCACAAUAUGUGAAAAGCUCGUAAGCAUUGGAUCAGUGAUCGUUAAUUUUGACGGAUGCGGUUCAUCAUGUAACAGUUAUAACAUAGGGUGACACAGAACUAGCUCCAGUUCAUCAAUGUAAUGUAGGCGUGUAUUCCAAAUAUAGUCAUACAUGCUUAUGGAAAAGAACUUGCAUGACAUCUUUUGUCCUACCCUCCCGUGGCAGCGGGGUCCUAAUGGAAACUAAGGGAUAUUAAGGACUCCUUUUAAUAGAGUACCGGACCAAAACAUUAACACUUAGUGAAUACAUGAACUCCUCAAACUACGGUCAUCACCGAGAAGUAUCUCGAUUAUUGUCACUUCGGGGUUGUCGGAUCAUAACACAUAAUAGGUGACUAUAGACUUGCAAGAUAGGAUCAAGAACUCACAUAUAUUCAUGAAAACAUAAAAGGUUCAGAUCUGAAAUCAUGGCUGUCGGUGUCAAAACCGGCGGAUCUCGGGUAGGGGGUCCCGAACUGUGCGUCUAGGCGGAUGGUAACAGGAGACAAGGGACACGAUGUUUUUACCCAGGUUCGGGCCCUCUCGAUGGAGGUAAAACCCUACUCCUGCUUGAUUGAUAUUGAUGAUAUGGGUAGUACAAGAGUGGAUCUACCACGAGAUCAAGGAGGCUAAACCCUAGAAGCUAGCCUAUGGUAUGAUUGAUGUAAUGGUUGUUGUGUCCUACGGACUAAAACCCUCCGGUUUAUAUAGACACCGGAGAGGGCUAGGGUUACACAGAGUCGGUUACAAUGGUAGGAGAUCUACAUAUCCGUAUCGCCAAGCUUGCCUUCCACGCCAAGGAAAGUCCCAUACGGACACGGGACGAAGUCUUCAAUCUUGUAUCUUCAUAUUCUUGGAGUCCGGCGGACGAUGAUAGUCUGGCUGUCCGGACACCCCCUAGUCCAGGACUCCCUCAGUAGCCCCUGAACCUGGCUUCAAUGACGAUGAGUCCGGCGCGCAUAAUGUUCGGCAUUGCAAGGCGGGUUCCUCCUUCGAAUAAUCCAUAGAAGAUUGUGAACACCAGGAUAGUGUCCGGCUCUGCAAAAUAAAUUCCACAUUCCAUCGUAGAGAGAAUAAUAUGUACACAAGUUCAAUCUGCCGACGUAUUCUGUGGUAUGACGUCACACCACUACCAAGCCUUUACUUGAAUCGUUUUUUAUUAUACGACCUUAGCGCGUUUAGCGAAGCGGUUUCCUUGGCACGUCUUGUCGAAGCAGAGAUCGUGUUCCCCUUAUUCCGGGAUUCUCAUCAAUACAGACGUGGGUAACCCAACCGCGCCCGUCGCCACGCCUCCUCUAUCGAAGGCGAGUCCCGAACGGUCACGGAGGCGGGUCUUGGUAUUCUCCCUCUUUAUAAUAGGACCAAGGCUCAUUUCUUUUCUUCGACCUUCCAUCGAACCCUCUCCUUGAUCCAAGUUCCAACACCCAGAGCCCCAGAUUCGAGCGCUUCGGACCUUCAACAAUGUCCGGCUCCGACCUUCAGGGCCGGUGGAUGCCUUCCUCCAUCACGGAGGAGGACGUGCAAAAGCUGCGAGAGGCCAAGUACCUGUCUUAUGAAAUUUCGCACAGGUUGCCCGCCGAAGGGCAGGCCAUCCCCACCCCCGAGCCCGGCGAGUAUGUCGUCUUUGUAUCCCACCUCUGUCGGGGUUUAGGCUUCCCGACGGAUCCUUUUGUGAGAGGGCUCAUGUUCUACUAUGGGUUGGAAUUCCAUGACUUGGCCCCGGAGUCCAUCCUCCACAUUUCCGCAUUUAUUGUCGUCUGCGAAGCCUUCCUCCGCGUCACCCCCACUUCGGCCUGUGGCUGAAGACCUUCAAUGUGGAGCCGAAGAUGAUCGAGGGGCAUCAAGCAGAGUGCGGCGGGGCGGACGUAAGCAGGAGGGCCAAUGCCCCGUGGCCCGAGGGCUCCUUCCAAGAGAAGCUCGGCUUGUGGCAGCGGGAGUGGUUCUAUAUCACCGCUCCGAAGGGCAGCAGGCAGAAGCCGCCGCCCUUAUUCCGCUCGGGACCUCCACGACGGUUGAUGUCGUGGGUCAACCAAGGGCUCAACUGGGGGCCGCCAAAGGACGUGCCCCUUCUGCAGGGCCGGAUUCGAGACCUCCAAGCGAGGGAGAUCGAUCUGGUAGUGGUAAUGCAGGUCAUGCUGAUUAGGCGUCUUCUGCCCUGCAAACGCCGCCCUCUCCGGCUGUGGGAGUUUAAUCCGGAGGGAUCACGGAUUCUUCAACACUUCAUGGGUAUGACACCUGUGGAGAUGUACAAAUUAUUCUUCGGACCACAAGUGGCGUGUCCGGAAUUGACCGAGGACGCCGGCCUGAGCUGCAAUCACCCGGAUACACAAGUAAGUAGCUCCGAGUCCGGACAUACCGUUUGUUUGCCUUUCCAUGAUUCGCCUUUUGACCGAUGUCCUUCUAAACAGGAGUGGAUAGCGCAAGCAAAACUGAUACGGUGUCCGGGCCCCCUCCCAGAGACCGUGUCGGAUCCUAUGCUGGUCAGGAUGUUGGAGGUCACGCCUUUAGAAGAAGGCGAAGGGGAAAAUAGGGGAGCUACCGCCUCUCCCAAGGAGGCUCUUGAAGAAGGGGGGAUCGAGAAUCCCUCCCUCUAGAGGGAGAAGAGGACCGCCUCCGAAGAUCCGGAGGCCAAAGCCCCUAAGCGGGGGAAGAAAUCUUCGCCAGAGGGUCCCGCGUCCGGGGAGGUCCCGGCCGCACAGUCUCCCCUAAAGGAUCAGCCCUCCAGCGAGCCGUAAGUAGAAAAAAGGGAGUUUAGUAAUAAGAGACAUCCCUAUUUGUGCUUUUGAGGAUAACCGAAUCUUUUACCUUGUAGUUCGGAUCUCCGACCUUCUCAGAUGAGCUCGUCUUCGGGGGACCUUCGUUCGGAGAUGGUGGAGAGCGAGACGCCUCCGUCUGCUGCGCCGUCGGAUAGGGCGGACAAGCCUGAAGUGUCAUCACGGAGGGUAUCCCCGAGCCCGGCGGAGCCGAAGAAUUCGGCGCCGAUUGGUGUUCGGCCGGGGGAGCUGAAGGAUCUGCUUGAGAGGGCGUCCAUCUCAGAAGGUCACCAUGCAUUGAUGAAUAUGGUGAUUGGAAGGAUUUCGUCCGCCGAAAGCGGAUUGCAUAAUGCUGUCAGGACUUUGCUGGCGGGGUUUGAGGUACGUAAGAAUGACACACCUUUUGACAGUUUUGCACAUGGAAGUGCGCCCUGUAUAGAUAGUAGCCCUUGAGACUCGGUAGGUUGUCGAAAGCGACAGCGUGCCGAGGAUCAAAAUCGUAGGUUUCAAUCUUCGUCGUUCCUAUGCAGGUGGCGGAUCGUCCGGGGGCCAGCCGGACUGAUGGAGUUGCUGAGCUAAAGCGGCAACUCGACGUUGCGGAUGCGGACAUCACGCUAAUCAACAGGCGACUUGACGAAUCGCAAGGUAAGUUUUUUCUCCGCAGUGACCUAGUAAGGGAGCCAAAGCCCAUCUCUUAUAAUAUUUGUGCUUGACGUAGAUGGUGCUGCUGCUGUGGAGAGCCUUCGGGCCGAACUUGCUCAGGCCAAGGAGCAAGCCAAAAGGAGUAAUGCGGCGGCCUUGAGGGCGGCCGAGGAGUUAGAAGCCGAAAGGGCUGUGCACUGCCGAAGCAGGGAGGUUGUGCCGAAAUGUCCGUGAAGUUAAAAGAUGCUACCGACCGCACUGAGGCUCUUGAAAAGGAGCGCCUGUCGGAGCGAGAAGACCCGGGGAAGGCCACCGCCGAAGCCAAGGACGCCCGAUCUGCAAUGCGGGCUAUAAAGGAGGAGCUGCGCCAAGCCGGAGACAUUGUGGCUGGCAAGCCCUUUCUGCUGCGCCGAAGGUUUACGGAUCCUAAGUAUGCUCAACUUGGCCAGCUGUGGGGUCCGGAGGAUCCUUAUAUGGACUUAGCGGCAAGUGCGGCGGAUGCCGUCGUGCACUUCCGGAACCAGAAGGAUCACAAGACGGAAGAGCUGUUUUGGUCUCAAUUCCAUAGUCCAGAUCAUUCACUUCCGCUGACCGAUCGGUUGGCCGAAUGGCUGAGCUGAAUAGGUUGUCCGGGCUUGCCAUGACGGAUAUCGUGACUCAUGUCUGGCCGGAUAGGCCCAAGUCGAAGAGCUACUUUGGCUUAUUGUAGCAAUUUCUUGGGGCGGUGCCGCAUAUCAAGGCGAUGAAGCGGUCGGCCUGCAUAGAGGGUGCACGGAUGGCACUCGCCCGUGUGAAGACACAUUGGACGGAGAUGGAUGUCGCCGCUAUUGCGACCCAGGGUUCGGACAGGAGCCAGUUACCCGCCGAGCACUAUUUUGGGGAAGUUCUGCGUGGUCCUCGUAUAAUAGAGUCGCAGUGCUCAAAAAAUGUUACGUUCAAAUGAACGUUUUAUUUUGUAAAACAAUGUUUAUGAUGUAGGCGCUUUUUAAACUUGUGCGUUCAAGUAUUGAAAUAUCUCCUAUGCGGCCGUUUAUGUAUACGUGUGUAUAACCUGAAAGAUUGUAGUCGUCGGCUUCAGCCCCCACGCACAAGGUGCGGGGGUGUUCGCAAAAAAGGCGCAUUUUCACACUUAACCCGACGUCUCGGUCCUGUUAAGGAGGUGGUAGGGUAGCAAACGAGGCAACCGGACUAUAAUGCUUUAUCACUUUCACUUAGCCAUUGGAGUUCGACGGUGGGGCUACGAUAUAGCCCCUGGGGGCACCACGUUCUCCGAAUUCGGGGCGCGUUUGUGCCUGACCGGGAAACGGUCCUUCGUUAAAGCGGAGGAAUUCUAAACAUUCCAGUGGUCGAUCGAGUGGUUGACCAGUCUCUCGCUGUAUCAUGACAGUCAGUUUUCGGCUUUCUUUACUGAGGUGCUCGCCCAGCCGAACUGGGGCACAAUCGUAGUAGUUCUCCUGGUGCCGUGUUAGCCGAUAAUACGGAACGUAAGGCAGAAAAACACAGGAGCUGGGCAAACCCAACAUUUGACCAAAGACAUGAUUCGGAGCUGAUGCAUAUAAGGCCUAACUCGAGACGCCGAACACUCCCUAAGGUGUUCGGUCUUUACAAUAACGGGCUGAACAAUGCCCUAAGCCCCUAGUGUCCAGGUACGGGCAAGGUCCUCUGAAGCGGCCGAUGCCAAAACGUCAGUCUCCUCUCUGGUUAUCAUGAAAAACCAGGGGAUUAUAGCAACAAGAGACAGUAAAAAAGGUUUACGCAGGGUCUUAAUCUAAAAAGAAUCCUUGCAACGGGUCCCUACUGCACGUCUGCGCCUGUGUCUCCGUUGUGCCGUUAUCCUGGACGGGUGUGCACGGUGUUCAUCUGUAAAAAAGAGAGGAACUUAGUUUGAAAAGAAAUCAUGCGAAAAGUGCAUAAAAAUUAAAAUAUUAAUAAAUUAAUAAAGCUAAGCCUAUAUUAGCUCAUUGUUGUUUAUAUGCCCAGCCCCUUGUGAAGGGGUGUGCGGAUGGGGAGCCCCUAGCUUAUUUAUGCCGGACUCGUCUAGCCGUGUCCGGGGUCUUUGAAUGACCCUCUUAAUGAAAUGAUGCCACGUGGACCGGGCAUUUUAAGUGUAAGAGACGCGUAAUGUGGUAUUGCAUUAAAGCGGACAAAAGCUUCACGUCCCAAUAGUGCUUGAUAGCUACUUUUAAAUGGGGCGACGUGAAAGAUUAGCGUUUCACGUCGGAAGUUGUCCGAUGACCCAAACACGACUUCCAGUAGUAAGGAGCCUGUGCACUUGGCGUAAGGGCCUGGCGUCACUCCUUUAAAGGAAGUGUGGCUAUGUCGAAUUUACUAAGGUCCAUCCCCAACCUGCGGAUUGUGUUCGGAUAUAGCAGGUUUAAAUCGCUGCCGCCGUCCAUCAGGACUUUUGUAAAUUGUAGUCCAUCGAUUAUGGGAUCCAAUAUCAGAGCAGUCCAUCCUACAUUUCGGAUGCUUCUGGAAUAAUCCAGGUGGUCGAAAGUGAUUGGUUUUGACAUCCAACUUUGGGGUUCCGCUGGGGUGGACCGUGCAGCACUUAUUUUAGCGGGUGCCGCAUUGUUUUUUCGUGAUAUCACAUGAAGUGAGUUUACUGUUUUGGCCUCUUGCGGGAAAGUCUUUUAUUUUCCGGUGCUCUGCUGGUGGGGUUCGUCAUCGUCCUCGCUUGGCGCGUCGAGCCCCUUGUGUUUGGCAUUGAGUCUGCCGGACUGUUUAAAAACCCAACAAUCUCGGUGUGUGUGGUUCGCAGGCCUUCCGGAGGUACUGUGGAUUUGACAUAUCCGAUCCAAAAUUUUGUUUAAGUUGGAUAGCUCAUCACUGUUGUCCUUAAGAGGCAGUGUUUUAUUGUUUGGCCGCGAGCUUUUGAAUCCGGCGUUGACCGCCGUAUUCUUAUUCCAGCGCUGAUCCUUUCUGCGCCGUGAUUUUCCGUUUCCAUCUCUGAUCUCGGAUGUACUCGGGUCGCUGGUGCUGCAUCUUGCUAGCCAGCUGUCCUCCCCUGCGCAAAAGCGGGUCAUGAGGCUUGUUAGCGCGGCCAUUGUCCUUGGCUUCUCUUGGCCGAGGUGUCUGGCGAGCCAUUCGUCACGGACGUUGUGUUUAAAAGCUGCUAAGGCUUCCGCGUCCGGACAGUCGACUAUUUGGUUCUUUUUGGUAAGGAACCUGUUCCAGAAUUUGCGCGCUGACUCUCCGGGCUGUUGAGUUAUAUGGCUUAGAUCGUCUGCAUCCGGAGGGCGGACAUAAGUCCCUUGAAAAUUUGCUCUAAACGCGUCCUCGAGCUCUCCCCAACUUCCAACAGUGUUUUCUGGGAGGCUUUUGAGCCAAUGCCGAGCUGGCCCUUUGAGCUUGAGGGGUAGAUAUUUUAUGGCGUGGAGAUCAUCUCCUCUAGCCAUGUGUAUGUGUAGUAUGUAAUCCUCUAUCCAGACUCCAGGGUCUGUUGUUCCGUCGUAUGCCUCUAUGUUUAUGGGCUUGAACCCUGCUGAAAAUUCAUGAUCCAGCACCUCAUCGGUGAAACAUAGUGGGUGUGCGGCGCCCCUGUAUUUGGGUGUGCCGCUGUCUUCGAACACUUGGCGUGUUGUGUUGCUUCCUCUGGCCCUCUUUUUUGGCCCGUAAACGGACCUGGCUGGGCCAUCUGUUCUCCCAGGGUGAUGAGUCGGCUUGAGUGCGGCGCCGCUUGUCGCUUUUGGCCUGUCAUCUGGUCGUCUAUCCGGCUAGGCGGCUUCUUUAUUUUUUGACUGUGGUGGCUCUAUGGCUUCCUCGUCAAAUUCUGGCAGCAGCUUGCGCUUCGGGUAGCUCUUUGAUUGAUGGCCAUUGCCAUAUUUGUCUGCGGUCUUGAGUACUUUGCUCCACCUAAUUCUGAGUAUGUCUUCCGCUGUUUUGAGCUUCCGUUUUUCCUUCUUCAAGCUUCUUGCGGUGGCGACGAGUCUUUUGUGAAGGUUCCUAUGCUCCGGCGGUGUGUCCGGCGUGAGGUCGUCCGGAUUGUUGGUUUCGCCGGGAAUGGAUUGAUUAUCCGAUUCGUCUUGUUCGGACGAUUGCUUCGUUGCAUGUUCGUCGUCCAUUGGUUUGCCCUGCUCUAUUGCUAGGUCAUUAGGAAUGCUUUUUUUUUGUCGAGGCGGGGCUUAGGGCGGCGCUUGCGUCGCCGUUUUGGUUGUUUAUCGGCGGGAUUAUCCUUUGCCGCGCCCCGUUGUUCCUCGUUAUCGCUUCCUUUUGGGGUAUCCACCAUAUAUACGUCAUGUGUUGGGGUGGUCUUCCAGUGCCCUGUGGGCGCUGGUUCUUGAUCGUCUCCGGCAUCGUCGUCCAUACCGCCGAUGUCCUCGGAGUCGUAGUCUAGCAUGUCGGUUAGAUCGUCGAUAGUGGCUACAAAGUGGGUGGUGGGUGGGCUUUGAAUUUCUUCGUCGACCGCAUCCCAAUCAUCCUGGCCAUAGUCCGGCCAGGGCUCUCCGGAUAAAGAGAGAUGCUUUAGCGAAUCUAGGAUAUCGCCAAAGGGUGAGUGCUGAAAGAUGUCCGCGGCGGUGAACUCCAUGAUCGGCGCCCAAUCGGAUUCGAUUGGCAGGGGAGCAGGAGGUUCGGAGUCUGGCAGCGAGUCCGGCACCUCGGAGUCACAGGCUCUAUAAGGGACAAGGUCAGUGUUCGGCUCUAUCACCGUGGAAGUUGCAGCCCCCGAGGCGGUGUCCAGCCACCGGUCCUUGAUCUGCGUGAUCGGCUCCAAACUAAGGGCCGGAGCGGAUUCGUGUGCGGCCACCAAGGCACUGUCCGGCGGCAGAGCUAAAUCAUGCCCAUCGUGACAGCGCGGCACGCUCGGCUGUGGCUCGAAUCUGUCGAAGAUAAAGUCCCCGCGAAUGUCGGCCGUGAAGUUUAGGCUUCCAAACCUGACCUGAUGGCUAGGGGCGUAGCUUUCGAUCUGCUCCAGAUGGCCAAGUGAAUUGGCCCGCAGUGCGAAGCCGCCGAAUACGAAGAUUUGUUCGGGGAGAAAAGUCUCACCCUGGACGGCGUUGUUGUUGAUUGAAGAAGCCAUCGAGCCUGUCGGUGACGACACAGAGGAACUCUCAAUAAAGCAACAAUGUCGGUGUCAAAACCGGCGGAUCUCGGGUAGGGGGUCCCGAACUGUGCGUCUAGGCGGAUGGUAACAGGAGACAAGGGACACGAUGUUUUUACCCAGGUUCGGGCCCUCUCGAUGGAGGUAAAACCCUACUCCUGCAUGAUUGAUAUUGAUGAUAUGGGUAGUACAAGAGUGGAUCUACCACGAGAUCAAGGAGGCUAAACCCUAGAAGCUAGCCUAUGGUAUGAUUGAUGUAAUGGUUGUUGUGUCCUACGGACUAAAACCCUCCGGUUUAUAUAGACAUCGGAGAGGGCUAGGGUUACACAGAGUCGGUUACAAUGGUAGGAGAUCUACAUAUCCGUAUCGCCAAGCUUGCGUUCCACGCCAAGGAAAGUCCCAUCCGGACAUGGGACAAAGUCUUCAAUCUUGUAUCUUCAUAGUCUUGGAGUCCGGCGGACGAUGAUAGUCUGGAUGUCCGGACACCCCCUAGUCCAGGACUCCCUCAAUGGCACUCGGGACCUAGUGACAAGCAUUAAGCACAGCAAAGUCAUAGCAACAUCAAUCUCAGAACAUAGUGGAUACUAGGGAUCAAACCCUAACGAAACUAACUCGAUUACAUGGUAAAUCUCAUCCAACCCAUCACCGUCCAACAAGCCUACGAUGGAAUUACUCACGCACGGAGGUGAGCAUCAUGAAAUUGGUGAUGGAGGAUGGUUGAUGAUGACGACGGCGAUGAAUCCCCCUCUCCGGAGCCCCGAGCGGACUCCAGAUCAGCCCUCCCGAGAGAGAUUAGGGCUUGGUGGCGGCUUUGUAUCGUAAAACGCGAUGAAACUUUCUCUGUCAUUUUUUCUCUGCGAAAGCAAAUAUAUGGAGUUGGAGUUGAGGUCGGUGGAAGUACAGGGUGCCCACAAGGCAGGGGGCGCUCCCUAGGGGGGGCGCCCCCCACCCUGGUGGACAGUGUGUGGCCCCUCUGACAUUGAUACUUUCACCAGUAUUUUUUAUUAAUCCUGAAAAGUUGCUCCGUGGAUUUUAAGGUCUUUCCGAGAACUUAUAUUUCUGCACAAAAAUAACACCAUGGCAGUUCUGCUGAAAACAGUGUCAGUCCGGGUUAGUUCCAUUCAAAUCAUGCAAGUUAGAGUCCAAAACAAGGGCAAAAGUGUUUGGAAAAGUAGAUAUGACGGAGACGUAUCAUGGAUCGGGAUCUCUGGGAAAGGGGGCGUUUCACAGGCGUCAUCUAAGAAACUCAGGGCGGCGAGGGUAUGUAUAUCGUGGGUAAACUGCAAGGGCAGAUGGGCAGAGGUUGAAGAUGGAGGCGGCGCGGCGGCGGCGAUGGCGACCUAGCUUGGUUUGGAGCGAGGGAGGGGUGGUGUGUAUGUGUGUGAGUAGGGGAUUUGGGGUGUGUGUGUGUGUGUGUGUGUGUGUGUGUGUGGAGGGGGUACAAGCACUACAAAAGAAAGACACAUCCGUGACAUUUUGGGCCGAACGAUUUUUUCUGUCAUGCUUAUGAUACUUCUAUGACAAAUAAUCAUGAUAGAAAAUGGGCUUUUCGUCCUGGGCGGGCCGGAGACGCAGCUGCAUGACAUUCUUUGGGCAUGCAUGACGGAAAAAACCGUGUUAGAAGCGAGGGAGAGGAAAAUAUUGGGGAGUUCCCGGUUAUGGUGGGUGGUCGGGGGCCGAGCGAUGCACGUUUCUCUCAUACACGUACGGGUGUGAGUGCGAGGUGUUGGGAUCUAACUGAAACCGAGCGAUUGCACUGCAGGCUACGCGUUACUGAACCUGAGCGAUCGAUUGAUGGCUGUUAACUGAACGCGAUCGAGCGAUUCCUUCGCUACUGCUACUAACUGAAGCCGAUCGAUGCUGCCUCUGGAUGAAUAGUGAGCCUUGCUGGGGGGGGGUGGAUGAACAGUUCCCGGUGGGGAUUGGAUGAGUAGGACCCCGUGGUGUUGCCGCUGGAUCAACAAGACCCCGAUCGAGCCGAUUGGGGUGGAUGAACAGGACCCUGUGGAGGGCUGGAUGAACAGGACCCCGUGGAGGGCUGGUUGAAUAGUAGCCGGUGGAGGGAUGGAUGAAUAGUAGCCCGUGGAGGGGUGGUUCAAUAGGACCCCAUGGAGAGGGCUGGUUGAACAGUAGCCAGUGGAGGAGCGCGCAGUGGAGGCUGGAUGAAUAUGAGCCCGUGGAUGAACAGUCGCAGGUGGAGGCUGGAGGAGGUUGACGGUGGAUGAACAGUAGCCUGUGGAGGCUGGAGGAGGUCGAUGGUGAAGAUGAACAGUAUCCCAUGGAGUCCCAUUUUGCGGUAUGCCACACCCCUCCCGAUGAACAUGACCCUAUUUCGACCAUAGCGUUCCAACACAAGUCUGUUUCCUCCAUUUUGCGGUAUGCCACACCCCUCCCGAUCAACAAGACCCCGUUUUGACCGUAGGAGGUCGAAGAGAAGUCUAUUUCCUUCGUUUUGCGGUAUGCCAGACCCCUCCUUAUGAACAGGAUCCCGUUUCGACUGUGGCCGGUCGAACACAAGGCCGUUUCCUCCAUUCUGUGGUACGCCAGGCCUUGUUUCCAUCGGUUGUUCCAUCCAAGCCGGUUGGCUCCCUAUGAACAUGACGACGCAUUCCGUUCCGACCUAGCCGAUUGGCUCCCGAUGAACAAGACGAUGUUUCUCCGUUCCGACCUAGCCAGUUCGCUGCCCGAUGAACAGGACGUAGUUGCUGCCAUCCGUUGCCUCUCCAUGUACACAAGCCCUGACCAUCUAUAUAUAUGCGCUAGUACGUGCUUGAGACCCCGCCUGUAUGUACGUACGUAGCCGUAUUUUCUUUCUUACACUCUGGCUGCUGUACAUAUGUGUACAUGCUAUGUGCGCGCCUCUACUACGACACGUGUGCGCCCUACUACGACACGUGCCCUUCCUUACAGGGCAAUGGUUCAUCACUGCGGCCUGCAGACAGACUGAUCAUAUGUACAUACACGUUUGUGACCAGAAUGACAAUGCUACGCAUGCUUUGACCAGGUGGGUCCCGACUGUCAGGCACUUCCUUGCGUGCGAAGAUGUAGCUGGUGGGUUCCAACAGUCAGGGGGCGAAUCCUUUUUUUGCCCAUAAUAUGGACGACUUCCUUGCGUGCGAAGAUGUAGUUGGUAGGUCCCAGCAGUUAGGGGGGAACAUUUUUUUGCAAAAUAUGGUGGCCCGCCCGAUGGGUCCCUGCUGUUAGGUGGAGGAAUCAUUAUUUUCCGUGUAAUAAGGAGGCACUUCCUUGUGGCGGCCGUGGACCCAGUUGUCAGCCUCUCCACGUAUAGUACUCUUACGAUGGAAGUCGGUCAUUGACCACAUUGACCAUGCCGCGCCGAGAGCACCAAGGCGGUGGACAAUGGCGAGGCCUAGGAAAGGGACAACACGGAGCUGGGGAAGACGCGGCAGUGGAUGCCCACACAGAGAGGAGUACGAGGGUUCACUGGUUCGGCUGCGAUGUGAGGCUGUCACCGCCGUAGAAUAACAGGGGGUGUGGGUGAGUGGAGGGAUGGCCUGGCCAGCGGUGGGAGUAGUAGGGGCGGUGAGGCCUUCGCAACACUACAACCGACCACGGGAGGCAAGAGCAGGCGGCACGACCGGUGCUACUUUGGGCGGCUGGAGCAAGAAGACCAUAGGUUGAAGAAGCACUAUGGCCGUUGGAUGGACAUCAUACGGUCACUGGAGUAUUGACUAAGUUGACAAAGCCCUCCAUCCCCGACAACUUAGUAGGCCCACAAGUCAGCCACACACUAUGGUGGGUCCCAGCUAGCAGGGGUAUUCAUAUUUUUGUGCGUAAUAAGGAUGCACUUCCUUGCAUGCGAAGAUAUAGCUGGUGGGUCCGACCUAUCAGCGGGGGAACAUUUUUUUGCGAAAUACAGAGGCCCUUCUGAUGGGUCCCAGAUGUCAGCUGGAGGAAUCAUUAUUUUGCGUUUAAUAAGGAGGCAUUUCCUUGUGUGCGGCCGUUGACCCAACUGUCAGCCUCUCCACGUACAGUCCACGUCCGAUGGAAGUUGUUCCAUGACCAUGUUGACCACACCGCGCCAAGAGCACCAGAGUGAUGGACGACGGCGAGACCUAGGAAGGGUAUGACGCGGAGCCAGGGAAGACGCGGCAGUGGAUGCCCAAGGUGAGAGGAGUACGAGGGUUCACUGGUUCGGCUAUGGUGUGAGGCUGCCGUCGCCGCAGGGUCUGGCUAGCGGUGGGAGUAGGAGGGGGCGGUGAGGACUCAACGGCAGCACAGUCGGCCACUGGAGGCAGGAGCAGGCGGUCUCGCCGGCGCUGGUUUGGGUGGCCGGUGCAAGAAGAGCAACACUUGAAGAAGCAGCAGGACCGUUCAAUUCAAAUCCAACGGUUAUUGCUGCUAGAAUCAUUUGUUGACUAAGUUGACAAGCCUUGCGUACGUGUCAACUUACUAGGCCCAUAGGUCAGCCUCCCAACCGGUGCGCCCCAGAUGUCAGUGGGAGGAAUCAUUUUUUUCGUGUAAUAAGGAGGCAGUUGAUUGCAUGCGGCCAGGCCAGCGGAGGGAGUAUGAUGGGCCGGGGAAGCAUGCGCGGCAUCACAGCGGGCCACAAGAGGAGGGAGCAGGCAGUCCCGCUAGCGCUAGUUUAGGCGGCUUGAGCAGGAAGAUUAGAGAUUGAAGAAGCACGUCGGCCGUUGGAUGGACAUCCAAUAGUCACUGCUGCUAGAAUCAUGUGUUGACUGACAAAGCCUUGCGUAAACAAGUCAGCCUCGAAAUCUGUGGCGUGUACAUCCCAUUUGCUAUUAUUUUUAUAAUUUCUACUCAUUUUCUAAUUCAUAUGGAAUUUAUUGCAGCUCGUUUUCCGUUUCUAGAAUUGCUGCCCAUUUUCUGGUCAGUACCAGGGUUAAAAAAAUUAACUCAAUAUGUGUGAAAUUUUGAAAAUUCGCAAAUUUUUGCUGGGGAACAAAAUAUUCUUAAUCCAAAACUUAGUAGCCAUACUAAAACAAAUUUAAAAAUAAAUUAGUGCUAUGUCAUGUUAAAUCCAAUGAGAUACUAUAAAAUAUCAGUGAAGAACAAAAACAAAAAA
Molecule: long non-coding RNA, 46601 nt
Filed under: Triticum aestivum (bread wheat)
Lineage: Eukaryota; Viridiplantae; Streptophyta; Magnoliopsida; Poales; Poaceae
Description: long non-coding RNA (TAES_LNC016000)
Source: RNAcentral